ACAGACAACCUAACAUUAUGUAUCUUUUCCAUUGCAUGAAAAAUGCAUUUAUGCUUUCAUGUCCUUUUGUUUAUUGAAUUCUUAUGUUGCAACCUUUUAUGACAAUUGUGAAUUGAAUAUUAUAUUGCUAUACUUGGUUGUGUGUUUAUGAUUUAGUUGUAUUUUUCAAUUAAGACAUAAUUUCAUGUGAGUGUUUGUCUUAAUUGAUUCAUUUAAUCUUUGCAACGCCUUUGAGUAUGUUUAAUUCUAUAUGUUGUUGUGUAAUGAUUCAUGAUGCUUCUCACGUUUUUCUGUCUUUAUCUCUUUUUGAUGUUGUCAAAAGGGGGGAAACACAAGGUUUAUGAUGCACAUAUUCAGGGGGAACUUUGCAAAAGACAACAAGAGUUCCUAGUAUAUUUUUCCAUCAUCAAACAGAGGGAUUAUGUGAGUGUAAUAUUCUCUUAGAUAGUAUUUUGAAUGAUGUCAAAACUUGGUAGGUUAGAUCUUUGUGUAUUUGGACUUUACAAUCUUAAAUGUGCAUCAUCGUCAUAGUAAAACAUGUAAGACUAGAUUACAUAAGUCAUCACAUGCUAAAAUAUGAGUUUUUCACAAAAGACAUGCAUGGGUCGAUACAUGUUGAGUAUGGGUUGAUACACACUGAGUGGAUUUUCAAAGAAUUCAAAACUACCUCAAAUGGGUCGAUAUAAAGGAUAAAUGGGUUGAUACAUCCUAUGAAUGGUUCGACUCGUUCUUGUUUGGGUCGACUCAAUCUGAAAGAUGUUUUUCAAAGAUUUGUCGCUGCUUCUAAUGGGUCGAUACAAAGGAGAAAUGGGUCGAUACAUUGAGCGAAUGAGUCAACUCUCCCGUGUUUGGAGUAGACUCAUCCUGAAACUUUUUCUUUACAAAUUGUCUACUGCCUCUAAUGUAUUAACUCUAUUUGAUUUCGUAUUGGCUCAUUCAGCUGAUGUAUUGACUCAUUUCAUUUUAGAGUCAAUACAUUUUGUACCAAAUUUUAAAAUUGCAUUUUGGCUAAAAAAAUGUUUUACUCAUUUCUUUUCUACACUCACACAUACAUAUAAAUACGCAUUCAUGCAUCAUUUUUAAGUAAUUGAAACCUGAAAGACACAAAGAAUUUUCAUCAUCUUUAACCUCUCUUGACGCAUUCAUCAACUACACAUAAUCAUUUAUGAUUGUUUGUUGGGAAGAAAAUUUUGAUAAUGUCUAAUUUAGGUUUGUGUAAUCAAAUUGGGUUGAGGUUUUCUUUGCGGGUUUCGAGGAUAAAAUCGUUAGGGUUUUUACUCCAAGAUCAAGGGUUAAUUUGGAGUUUUUUGCACAACCCUUGUUAACUUAGAUUCAGCGAAGCGAAGGCUCUGAAGAACGGGGGUUCUUGUAAAGGAGUAACGGUAACCAGAGGUUAAAAUGAAAGGCUUGGGACAAGAUUUUGCAAUUUGGAUUCAGCUGAAUGAAAGCUUUGAAGAACAUAAUGUUCAGUCAAAAGAGUAAUGGUAACUGAAGGAUCAUAUUGGAGAUCUUAUAUGACUUGAUCUUGCUAAGAUCAAGGAUAGAGAAUGAGCUAUGAUUAACAUUAAACAUAGGGUUUAGGGUUUGAAUUUCUACUACUUCUCUUGUAAAUUGAUAUUGCUAAGGUUAAUUACAAUAUCUCUAUUCAAUUUUGAAUUGAGGACAGACGUGCCCAUAGUGAUGACAAUUUGGGAACUGCCUAAACAAAUCUUGAUGUUCUCUCUCUCUCUCAAAUUUAUUUUUAGAUUUUGAUCAUACUUAGUGUGUAGUUUGAAUUUAUGGAAAUUUUGGAUGUGUUGAAGUGUUUAAAACUAUUUGUGUAAAACGAUUGAAAUCUAAACCAUUGAAAUUAAUUUAUUGUAACUUAAACACAAAGAGAAUCAAGCUUGGUGUAUUGCACACCAAGUGUUUGACAAAAUUACUCUGUCAAGUUUAUUUUUACUUCUCAUUGGAAAUAAUUUAUGUUAAGUGGGGUUUAUAUUGAAACAAACUAUAUUGAACUUUUGGAUUGGAUUUUGUCAUCUUUAGCAUACUUUAUAUUAUAGUUUGUACGCAUAUCUUUCCACCAAUAACGGUUCUGAUAGACGAGAUUCGAUCCAAAUUCGUUUUCACUUGCCAUAGAAAAAUAACUUUCAAAAUAAAAUUUUAAGAAGAAAAAAUUCAUUAGGCAAUCUAUUCAACCCCCACCCCUUUUAGAUCGUUACCUCUUCUAACAUCUCCCUUUGACGCUUCUGAAUGUUUAUGUUCUUCGAUAGGGUUAUUUACCAUUCUCUCUCUCUCUGAUGCUUUUGAAUGUUUAUGUUCUUCUCUAGGGUUGUUGAUUUAUUUUUUUAAUAGAUAAAUGAUAUUAGGAUGUUGUGUGUAUUCACAUUGUCAUGUGUAUUGUUCAUGUUACAAUGUUCAUGUUUUAUUCAGAUUUUGUGAAUAUGCUUUAGGUUAUGGUGUUGGAUAUGCAUAUGCAUAUAAUCAUAUUAGGAUGUUGUGUGUCUAGUAUUAAUGUUCCAUUCAAAUUUGUCUUUUGAUAUAAAUUUCAGAAUUUGUUAUGGAUCGUAGUUGGAUGAAAGUUGAUAUAUUAGGUCCGAUGUAUGAGAAAUAAGUUAUUGAAUUCCUUGAAUUUGCCAAAAAAAAAAGUUCUUGACAAUAAUGGCAUCUUUUAUUGUUCUUGUGUUGUUUGCGGGAAUAUAAAAAAACGGUCAAAGAAAGAAAUAUUACAUCACAUAUGUUAUGAUGGAAUAUGUCAAAAUUAUACAACAUGGAUGUAGCAUGGAGAAGUGGAUAAUAAUCGAAAUACAAUGUCACAAAUGGAUGAAGAUGAUGAAGAUAUGGAUCAUCGACUAAAAGAUACGAUCUGUGAUAUUGGAGAAUCAUAUUAUAUGAAAGCCCAUAUUUAUGAUACUUUAUGUAGCAACAAAGAUGCACUUUUAUAUAAGGGAUGCACCCAUUUUAUAUGAUUGUCUGUGUUGUUAAAAUUGUUUAAUCUGAAGACAAAAGGUGGGUGGUCGGAUAAAAGUUUCACAAAAUUGCUUGAUUUGUUUAAACAAAUGCUACCAGAAGAUAAGAAUUUGUCGGAUUAUUAUUACGAGGCCAAGAAGACAUUGUGUACAAUGGGUUUUGAGUAUGUCAAAAUACAUGCAUGCCCUAAUGAUUGCAUACUAUACAUGAAGUAUUAUGAAAAUUUGGAUCAAUGUCCAAAAUGUAGUGAGUCGCACCACAAGUUGAAGAACAAUAAUGGUGAUGACAAUGACAUUGUUAGUAAGAAGUGUCCUCUUGCUAAAGUGUUAUGGUACUUUCCAAUAAUUUUAAGAUUAAAGAUACUUCUUGAUAAUGAGAAUGACACAAAGAAUAGUAUAUGGCAUCCAGAUGAAAUAAAAUAUGAUGAAAAAAUUUGCCAUGUAGUUGAUUCUUUGCAAUGGAAGAUAAUUGAUUCAUUGUUUCUGGAUUUUGGCAUUGAGCCAAGAAACCUUAGGCUUGGGCUUGCCAUAAAUGGAAUGAACCCCUUUAGUAAUCUGAGUACUAACCAUUCUUCGUGGCCUAUUCUUCUCACGAUUUACAACCUAUAUCAUUGGAUGUGCAUGUAUAUGAUGUUAAGUAUGAUUUAUGGACCAAGACAACCUGGAAACGGCAUAGAUGUUUAUAUAAGUCCAUUAAUUGAGGAUUUGAAACUUUUAUAGGAUAAAGGUGUUGACAUUGAUGAUGCAUAUUCUGGUGAAAAGUUUAAGAUGCGUGAAAUGUUAUUUUGAACAAUCAACGAAUUUCCUACAUAUGGUAAUUUGGUUGGAUAUAGUGUCAAAGGACAUAAAGCAUGUCCUAUAUGUGAAUCUGAUACCUAUUUUCAUCAGCUUGAGUUUGGAAAAAAGACAGUUUACCUUGGGCAUUGGAAAUUUCUAAAACUCAAUCAUCCUUAUCUUAAAUUAUGGAAGGUUUUUAAUGGAGAACAUGAGUUUGAGAGCGCUCAUAAACCUUUAACUAGCGAUGAAGUUUAUCAACGACAAGAACACCUUACUAUUUUCUUUGGAAAGAAUAAAGAUGGUCAUGCUGAGAGAAAUAUUUGGAAAAAGAGAUAGGUGUUUUUUGAUAUUCCAUAUUGGUCUAGACUCGAUGUAAGAUAUUGUCUUAAUGUGAUGCAUGUGGAGAAAAAUGUGUGUGAUAGUUUGAUAGGAACACUUCUAAACAUUCCAGGAAAGAGUAAAGAUAAUAAGAAUUCCCGUUUAGAUAUUGUGGAGAUGGGUAUAUGAAAAUAGUUGGCUCCAGAAGAUAAAGGAAAAAGUUCUUAUUUGCCUCCGACAUGUCACACUCUAUCUAAAAAAAGAAAAGAAAAGUUUUUGCGAGUGUUGGCAUGGUAUCAAAGUUUCCCAAGCCUAAUCAUCAAACAUCAAGAAACUUGUAUCAUUGAAAAAUAUCAAGUUAAAUGGCUUAAAAUCUCAUGAUUUCCAUGUCUUGAUGCAACAACUUCUACCAAUGGCUAUCUGUGGUAUCCUUCCAAAAAUUGUAAGAGUAACUAUAAUUAGAUUGUACUUAUUCUUCAAUGCCAUAUGUAAUAAAGUUAUUGAUUUCAAAAAAUUAGAUGAAUUAGAAGAUGAGACCACAAUAAUAUUGUGUCAAUUGGAGAUGUAUUUUCCUCCAUCAUUUUUUGACAUUAUUGUUCACUUACUUGUUCAUCUAGUCAGAUAAAUCAGAUUUUAUGGUCCAAUUUAUUUAAGGUGGAUGUAUCUUAUAGAGCGAUAUAAAAAAAUAUUUAAAUGAUAUACUAAGAAUCAUCACCGACCAAAAGCUUUGAUCGUUGAAAGGUACAUCACAAAAAAAUCUCUUGAAUUUUAUUCAAACUAUUUAUCGAAAGAAUAGUCUAUUGGAAUUCCAAAGUCUCGUCAUGCUGACAAAUUUGAAGGUAGAUGUACUCAAGGUUUAAAUAUUAAGUCAAUGGAUGAGAUGUAGUAAUUGAAGCACAUUUAUAUAUAUUGAAUAAUCUUAGUGUAGUUGGACCUUAUAUAACUAUUCACAAAACAAUUAUAAAGAAAAAGUAUCCUCGAAUGAAUGACAAGUGGUUGUUGACGUGACAUAACAAGGAAUUUAUAAGUUGGUUUAAUAAGAGGAUUUCUAAUGAUGAUGGUCCAUCCUAGACAAUUUAAUGUUUGUCAUACAUGCCAAAAUUUAUUGUGAUAACUUGAACGACAUAUGACAUUUCUAAUUUCCUUUUAUAUAAAAGCAAAAGAUGAUCAAAGUACAAGACAAAAUUGUAAGGGUAUGGUUGAGGUUGAAUCCAUGUAUUUCUCUAGUUCGCAAGAUAAGAAUCAUAUUUUAGCAACCACCGCGUUCUAUGGUGUCAUUGAGAAGAUUCUAGAGAUUGAUUAUGUUAUUUUCAACGUGCCUUUAUUUAAAUGCAAGUGGGUUCCCAAUAACAAUGGUGUACAAAUUGACGAGUUAGGAUUCACACGAAUUGACCUUGGCAAGACAACUUAUAACAACAGACUAUUUAUCAUGGCUAUUCAAGCAAAACAAGUUUUUUAUGUGACAGACUCUGCAGACUUAUCAAAGAGAUGGUCAAUUAUUCUCAAAGGAAAACAUAUUUCUCAUAGUGAUGGUGCAAGUUUUGAUAUUUCUUCCACUCCUUCUUAUGCAACACAAAUGCCUACUUUAUAUGAAGAAGUUGAUAGAGAUGAUCUACAUGUUAUUUGUAACGAUCAUCAAGAAGGCAUAUGGGAAAAUUAACAAGUAUUUUAUAUUCUUCAUUCAUAAUUUAUUGUAUGUUAUAAUUUCUAAUGAUAUUAUUUUCUAACAACUAUAUUAUUUGAAUAUAGGUAUUUAAAGUCAAGACACAAAGACAACAAGGUAAUAUUAUUUGAUAUAAUGAUGUGUACAUGGUAGGUUAUUUUGUGUCAUUUUGGCUUUGAUGUAAUAUACAAUUUUUGGUUCCUAAUGGAAUUGUGUCAUUGGUGUAAUACAAAAUUUGGUCUAAUUCAAUUCACAAUUGGGUGUAUUCUUGUUUCUGGUCUGAUACGAUUCAAAAUAUUAAGGUUAAAAAUUUGAGAAUACUGUAAAAUUGAAAAAUAUAUACUAAAUAAAUAAAUAAUAUCACAAUGGUUUUUAAUUCAACCGUUGUUAUAAGUAGAGCACUAUGCAUAAUAAUAUAAUGCAAAAAUGACGUUGUUGGGAUUUGAACCCAAAACCUAUAAAUUAUUUCACAACGGUUGUCUUCUUUAUCCAUUAUUGUAAGUAGCAUGCUACCUAACUUAUAACCACAAUCACUCGCUCGUUGUGAAAACCAACAUACAUACAAUCACACACUACCUAACAAUAGACGUGAAAUUGUCAUUGUAUGUGUUUCACAACUGUCAUUAUAUGUGUUUUCUAUAAUAAUGCUUUUUUGAUUUAUUGCAUAAGUUACAUGUAGCAUCCAUAUUAUAAAUUUUGAAAAAAAUCGCACUGCAUGUCUUCGGAUUUUAUAAACCAAACAAACAUAUUGACAUGUAUUUAGAUUUCAUAAUAUGAAUAUUAUUAGAAUGUGUGUUGAUUGGUGUAAAUUUUGUUGAUUAGUAGUUUAUGUAUACUCUCUUCAAUCUCAUAACCAACAAAAUAAAAUUCAAUGUUGUUAAAUAUAAGUAAAAUCUUCUCUCAUUAUUACAUUCAAUUUUACUAUUCCAAAUAUUACUACUCUUUAUUUUUAUUUUUAUAGCCUCGUGUUUUUCAAGUUUCCAAAAUAAAAAGUAAUGGUAAAAAUAGAAAUAGUGUAUGGCUUAAAUGUAUUUAGAUGACUUCUUUAAAGAUUUUGUAAAUUUGCUUAUAUAUAAGAUUAGAUGUAGUAUUUGUCAAUUUUCAAUAAUGGAUAAGAAUAGUAUGCUGAACUCGUGCAAGGAAUAAAACAGACUUAACCACUGUCUCUACCCGACUUGAGCAUCAAUGUAAAAUUUGAGCAAAUAUAAUUGGAUUUGCAAACUACAACCUCAUCCUCGUGAGAUUGAGGUGGAGGUUGAAGUUUUGGAGGAGAGUGAAAGUUCUAAUUAUUCUUUUUUUUUUAAUUUCAAGAUGGGAAACUGAAAUAUAUAAGUAACGACAAAAAAUUCAUAAAAUUAACUACUCCAAAUAAACAAUUUUUCAUAAAUGUCAUUCGAGACAAUAAUCUAUAUGACCUUGACACCAUAGGUUUUAGCGUAGAUGAUCAUUGCUUGGUGAAAAUUUUGGAUCUAUAUGCUUGCAGGCAUAAAGUUAAUAGUUCUAUCGACAAACCUCAAAAGUAUUUUGAUGACGACAACACUAAUAAUUCCUAAAAUCGGUGGUAACAUCUUUCCAACUCCUUUAUGAUGGUGAUUAACUUGAAGAUACCUCAAGCCUCAUCAGGACGGAGACUCAAGGUUCCAUUAAAGUUUUUAUAUGAUCAAUGUAUCUGGCGAAGGAAUUUAAAAUCUUUAGAAUUAUGAAAGAAAGAAAGUGUGAAAGCUAGCCUAAUCGUAUCUGUUUGAGUAACCAGAGUCUUCUGAAAGUAAGAGAGUAUCUCCUAAGAUACUUAGGAAACACACAGAUAUGCACACACACACACAUGCACAUACACAUACACUUUCUCUCUCUCUCACACUCUUUUUUUUUAUCUCUCUCUCUCUCUCUCACACUCUCUCUCUCUCUCUCUCUCUCUCUCUCUCUGAGAAAGAGAGAGAGAGAGAGUCUCUCUCUCUCUCUCACACACACACACACACACACUCAUUUUAACUAUCAAAAUACCUAAAAAUGUUUUCAAGCCUUAGCCAAUUGAUUAGGAAAUUGUCAACUUCAUUAAAAGCAACUUUUGAACUAUCUAAUCGAUUAUAUCCUAAAGCUAAUCGGUUAGAAGAAGCGAAAUCAAUUAUAUAAUUAAUUAUGGUAGCGUAUUAAUGAUUAGUAACGACUCUAUAUCUAAACAUUCCAAAAUGGGCUAAAAUAAUCUAUUAUUUUUUUGUAUCUAAUCGAUUGGGCUUAUGGCCUAAUUAAUUAGAUUAGUUAAUUGGCUCAUGGAUUAUUUCCUUUUUAGCCAAUUAUUCUCUCUCCUCUUUAUUUCACACAAGAAUUCCAAAUUUCUCUAGUUCUUUGGAAUUUAUCUCUCUUUGUUGUCUCUCUAAAUAUUUUCUUUCACCAAAGUUACCUUAGUGCAUUGUGAGUGAAAACUAUCUGUGAGGAAUAAUUUAUACUAGUGUCGUUCCAUUGUUAUUACUCUCAAGAGUGAGAUAUUCUUGAGAAAUCGAGUUUAGUUAUUGAGAUUAACCAUUCUAAAAAUCUUUGUUUGGUUCUAGGACUUAGCCUGGAAAAUUUUAGUUUGGUUAUUGAGAUUAGCAUGGAAAAAUCUAAUUAGCUCGUUAGUUCAACUUGUGAAAAGACUUUCUUUUUGUUAGGGAUAAGUCACUGUAAAGUCUCUAGAUCUGUUUGUAUCAAAGGUUUGUGGAUAUAACCUGUAAAAGUUCAAGUUUAUGGUCAAAAUCUUAAGAAGAUCUCAUGGGGAUAAAAGUCGGUUAACUUUCGACCAAACCUGGAUAAAUCAUUGGUGUAAUCUCUCUAACCCUUAUCUUUUAUUUUUGUCCUUUAUUAUAUUAACUUUAAUUUUUGUUGCUUUUCACUAUAAUCUUAAUAUUAACGUAAUUUGACUUUUAAGUAACAAAAACUUAAGUUUAAUUACGAAUUUUUAAUACCACAAUUCACCUCACUCUUGUGCUUGAAGUCACUUGUUCAACAAGUGACAUCAGAUCCUAACUCAUAUUAAAGACUAAUCAUCCCAUGAGGAAAAACAACUUCAAUCUAUUCACUAAAUAAACCACCAUCCUUUAAUGGAUAAGGGUAUAUUUAUUGAAAAUGUAAAAUGGAGUUUUCCAUAUAAGAGAUGGAUUGUGGUAUUUAAAAAGUUGUGAAGGAAAGUUUAUGUUCAUACACAUCAUACUGAUGGUGUUGUAGUGAACAAAACUGGAAAUAAUUGGACCAAAGAUGAUAAAGAAAAUGUGUAGUGCAGUUUGAAAGCAAAAAUGGUCAUCACCGCCACUCUUGGUCUUGAUAAAAGCAAUGUGGGACAUCCUCCAAAUUACCCAUGAAGUAACUAUUUGUGUAAAGAGGGCAAGGUUGGGAUCAUUAACCUAUUAGUAUAAAAUUUUCAAGAUGAAACCUAAAGAGAACAUAAAUUAGAUGCAAACACGAUUUACACAUAUCAUGAGCCACAUGAGAACUCUAGGAAAAACAUUUUCAAAUGAAGAACUAGUUGUGAAAACUCUUAGAUGUUUAAACUGUAACUAGAAACCUACAUUGACUAUGAUUUGAGUAUCUAGGGAUCUAGAAAUUAUAGAUACACACACAUACAUACUCUGUUUGAGAAAUUACAAGAACACGAAAUAUAAUUAAACAGGCUUGCCAUAGAUGAGGAAGGAGAAAAGAAAAGCAAAAGUCUAACACUCAAAUUCGAAUAGUCCAACUCAGAUGGUGACAUGUAUCUUAUAGUAAAGAACUUAAAAAUAUUUCUAAAUCAUGAGAAACAACAAAAAUAGGAAGAUGAGGAAAAAAUUUCAUUUAUCCCCACUUGCUACAAGUGUGGAAAGAAAGGGCACAUUAGGCCAAAUUAUCCCUUAGCUAAAAGACAAAUAAAAAGAAAUCUAAGAAACUUUAGAAAAAGGCCAAGAAAGCUUACAUAGUAUGAGAACAUAACAAUAUGAAAUCCUUAGACAAUGAAGAGGAAAACUAACAUCUAUCUCAUGGAAAAUCAUCAAGAUGAUGAGGUAACUUCUUAUUUUUCCUAUCACGAUCUUUUUUGCAUUUGUAAGAAACUAACAAAAGAACCAAGAAAACUGAAACAAAUUGUGUGUAUCGAAGGAUAUUAUUUCUUCUCUUGAACUUAAAAAUAAAAAACCUUGAGAAAGAAAAUAAAUCCUUAGAGAAAUAUAAAAUGAUACAGUUCAAAACUUUUCCACUUUAAACGAAGAGGAUGAAUCUGAUAAGUGCAACAAAGGUGAUACUUUGAAAAAUGAAAUUUGCGAUUUUCAAAAGUCAUUUGUUAAGUUCACCAAAGGAAGAGAUAACUUGAAUCUUCAGUUGGGAAAUCAAAAAGUUUCUUACAAUAAAGUUGGUCUCGGUUAUGAACCCAAAAAUGAUAGUAGAACUUUAGUAACAUUUGUAUUGCUAAAUCCACCUCUCAUUGCAAAACCUUAAAAUACAACUAUUGUAACAAAGGUCAUAUGGCAUGUUCUGUUUUAUUAAUAAAUUUACGAGAGAAAAGAAGGACAUCCUCCUUCAUACUUUUAUAAAAAAAACAUUGUGAGCGCAAAAUAAAGAUUUCACUUGCUCUAUUAAAUGUUUAUGUCUCUAGUAUAAAGACAAAUGAAAAGAAUAUUUAUACAACUAACAAUAAAGGACCCAAGAUGACAUGGGUACCUAAAUUUAAGACCUAGGCUUUUAUUGCAGGAGUGCUUUACAGUCUUGAUUUUUAAGUAACAAAAACUUGAAUUAAAUUGCGAACUUUGAAUAGUACAAUUCACCCCCCUCUUAUGCUUGAAGUUACUUUUUCAACAACAACCUUUUUUAGAGAGGUGGCACGAGGAGACAUCAACUUGUAUAUCCCGAUUAAGGAGAUGAAAGUGAAACUAGAUGAAAUCUCAUGUUUUCUGCAUCUGCUACUCAAGAGUCGUAUUCUUGACUACACCAUAGUUACAAAGCAUAAAUAUUAUCUAAUGGUUGAUCUUCUCGAAGUAGAACCACAUAACAUUGAACAAUAAUUUUAUGAGGGCCCUGGAGGUAAUGCAUGGUUCAAAUUCCUGAAGGGUUAUUUAUGAAACACCUUGAAACUACAGGGGCUAGUGACUAGGCCGAUGAAGGUGUUAAGAAAUAGUUGUACAAGCAGUACAAGACUAGGAUAUAUCUCCCUUACUUGAUGGACUCAACCAUUUUCACAAAAAAAGGCCAGUUAUAGUCACAUGAUGUAUUUAGAGCAUUUCAUGGAUCUAUACAUGAUCACUGGCUAUACUAGAGGCACUGUUACAUUGCCUUACUUGUAUAGGGAGAGCUGGAUGUUGUGACCAAGUUUAAGAUGAUACAAUUAGUAAUAUAUAUGACAUUAUUUCAAGUAAAAUAUUCAUGUAGUUAUUUAAUUAGUUGUUAAAAGUAUUUUCUUCAAUAUUAUUUACUAAUUAGUAUACAUUGUUGCAUGCAUGAAUCUAUCAAUAUUUCCCCAAUAUUGACAAACAAAGAGUAUGACAAGACGGUGCCUCAUGCUAACCUUUUCAUUUCGCUUAAAAGAUAUCCAACUAGAAAAUUGUAUUGAGAACCUAUAUUUUGACUAUUAUCACAAGAUGUGUUCCUUGACUUUUACGAUACUCAACGUGCCAUAUACCUUUUCAAUGACAUUAGAUUCUAUUUUGGUUAGGUCAAAUGUUUACUAUGUAUGGUUAGGUACUUUCCAGAGGUAAUUUUGCCCUAGUUCAAUAAGAUGCAAACUAUUAUAAGACAUCAAUUUAUCUAUGUUAUACACACGACCACUCGAGAGUACGUUGAUCAUAGGUAUCUUGAGCGGCUAGACCACAUCUUCCUAAAUAUUUAGGAUAUUGCGACAUGAAACAUAAGAUAAUAUAUUAAGAUAUCACUUCCUUACCUGAUCCCCAUACCUGAGGGAAAAUCUUUGGUACUAAUUGAGAAUGAAUCACUUGAAGAGGAGGCAAAAAAAGAGGAUCACAAUAGUCGGGUCCCUAUUUGCACAUAAACUUGAGACAUGACUUUUGAAUUAUUAUCUCAUGGGACUAUUAAGUUGGGUACUAAAGUUUACGAUGUUGUCUAGAGCAUUCAAAUGAAGGUUAAAAAUUCCUUGUGACACAAGAGAUUUAGGAGGAAUGAAAAUAAUUCUUGUGUGAAAGGUUUCAAAGCAAGGAUUCUCACAAGGAUGGCUAAUAUAAAUGUAAGUUACAUAUUUAUCACUAUCAUAUCCACACAUUUAUUUGCUUACUUAGACACGAAGUAAUACAAGAAACUUUUAAUUUAUGCUUAAUUAAGAAUUUUCUUAUGUUACUUCGUUCUAAGUAAGCAAAUAUCACAGAGGUAUUAUAUACGAAAGAAAUUUUUAAUUAAACAUAAAUUAAAAAUUUCUUGUGUUACUUCGUGUCUAGUAACUUACUUACUAGACUAUUGGUGGUUUCACUAGUGACUUGCUUCUAGUGUUUAAAAAGUAAUAAAAACUAAUUUCCACAUCAUCAUAAAAGUAUUUUGAAAAAAAGUCACUUUUGAAUACUCUCAAUUUUUAAAAGAAACUAUUCCAAAUAUUCAAAUUGGGAACACCUUUUUUUUAUAAGCAAAAUUAUACCCCUGAAUUAAAUUUGAAGUUUCUCAAUCAUCCUCUAAAAUAUGGAGGUAUACUUUAGAAGAAAACAGCAAAAACUUAAAAGGAGGUGUGGAAAUGAAUUUUAUGCAUACCGAAAGCAAGUCCCUUUUUUUUAACAGGGGCAUGAGGCCCAACAAAUACGAGUUAUUGUCAUUCAAAAAAAAUAAUGUAGAAGUGGAAAUAGUUGCAAGGAAAAGUGCUCGGGUCCCCGCCGCAGCAGGUUAACGAACGGUGGCAACUGCAACUGCAACUACAAAUCUGAUAUAAACCCUACCAUCACCAUGUCCAACGACUCUUUGUUCGCCGGCAUUCGUUUUGACAGAAAGAAAUUCGGCGCAGAUAUUGCCAGGUUUCAGGUACCAUUUCAAUCUCUCUUUAACUAAACGCCGCUGAAAGUGAAUUCAAGAAAUUCCAACCAAUUUUUUUGACCUAAAUAUUCAUCACUGCUCAAUUUUCAACCAUUAAAAUUCGGAGCAGUUUUCUCUUAUGUACCUUUGUCAAUCAUAGUAGCGUGAUAUUUUGUAUGCAUAUAGAACUUAACAACGGCUACUAGCUAAUUUGAUAAACUGUACAUCCUCAGAAAGCGUCCUUAUGGGAUACAUGGAUUUCUGAUAAGACUAUUUUUAGCAAUUUUGGAAGUCUUUAAAAGAGGACUUUGAUUAUAUAAUCAAGUUCGCCAUUCAUGAAAAUGAUGAUACUGCACGCUGUAUUCUUAAUAUGAUGUCCAUUAGAGCAGAUACUAGAGCUAAGCACAAAGAAAUCAAAUGAAGCUUGUAAUGGAAAGAAUCUUCCCUGCAUGGUUUGAAAGUUACAAGUUCACAAAGAGACGGACUUCUUUUUUGGAGGAUUUCAGAUGUUUUUUUAUGUUUUUUUUAUUUUAAUCUUUUAGUUUUUUAAAAGUAAGUCGUGCACGAGAGAGAUGGUUUCAAACAUGUUUAUGCAGCAAGGCUUGAUAAAAUGUAGUCAUUCUCUUGCUAUUGAGAAAAACCCAAGUCCCAUAUGAUAAAGAGAGUCUGAAACGCGGUUAUAAAGAGGGACAACCCCUACAUUACUAGUCGGUUUUGUUAGGAUGAGUUAAAUCCAAUAUAAAAACUUACUAUGAUAUUAGAGCCUAUCGAUUUGGGCCACCUGCCAUUUAAUCCAUACAUCAAGCUCAAUAGUUAUGGGUGUGACUUGUGAGGGAGUGUAUUGGUAAAAACCCUAGUCCCACAUAAAAAUAAAGAAAAUGUUUGAAAUGAGUUUGUAAAGAGUGACAUCUCUCACCUUAAAAAUCAGUUUGUAAGGAUGGGUUACACCCAACAUAAAAAACCUAAUGCUUACUUAUUUCAUUUCUUAAUCUAUGCGAAACACUGAUAAUAGUUAUUUCUUUAAAAAAAGAAAAAAAAUGCCGAUACUAGUUUGGCGAAGAUUCAGAGUGUGACAGAAGAUGAAGAAAUCAAGGAAACAAUAGAAGCUGUGUCUGCAAAGAAAAGGAAGCGCAAGAAAACCUCUUCUGGUAUUCUCAUUCUCAUGUUUUAACACUCUAUGUCACAUAUCACUUGUAUUAAUUGUUCUUUAUCUCACUUUUGCUUUGUUUCUAUGACAAAUAAAAGAAGCUGUUGAUGGAUUCAGUGUGUUCCGAAGUUCAACAUCGAAGUCAAGCGAAAAAGUCCAAGCCGAUGAUGAUGAGUCCAUUCGGCUGAAGAAAGAAAAAAAUAAGCAACUCGAGGUUCAGGCCCUUUAUGUUUUGUGCAAUAUAUAGAACUCUCCGUGUUCUUAAGUUUGUGCAAUAAUUUUCUGACCAUUCACUUUCAUUUUUCAUCUUUAUUUAGCGCGAUGCUAUCUUUAGGAAGAGUCAUAACAUUCAUGUGUCCGGUUACAAUGUGCCGUCCCCACUUCAAAGCUUUGAUGAGUUGAAAACAAGGUAAUUUUCUGUUAAUAUUAUUAUUCUGGAAUCUGGUUGUUACAUAUUCUGCUUAUUAUUAUUAUUAUUAUAUAUUUACAUGAACAUGGCAUUGCUGGUUCAGAAUCUUAAAAUGAACUGUUUAUUAUAGUUAUAAAUGUCCGUCCUAUUUAUUGCGGAAUCUGGCAGAACUUGGAUUCAGAGAACCAACACCAAUCCAACAGCAGGCUAUUCCAGUACUCUUACAGGUACGGAUCACAUUGGACAUUAUGUUAUUCGAAAAUCAUUGAUGUAGUUUGAUCUUGGUUUUGAUUCGUGCAAGCUUGAUAUUGUUUGCAAGAGAGAUAGUAUCACAAUAUUGUUUUUACUGAUAUUUUCCUUCACUAAUAUGAGAUAGGAUCGUGAAUGCUUUGCCUGUGCCCCAACCGGCUCUGGAAAAACCCUUGCAUUUGUGUGUCCCAUGCUCAUGAAGCUCAAGGUAUUGCUUAUAUUUUGUUGUCUUUUGCUUCCAACAUCCUGGGUCAUGGGUUCCAAUAAUCAAAUGUGUUUAUAGGCUCAUUCAAAAGGUGGCGUUCGAGCUGUUAUCAUCUGUCAUAGCCGUGAAUUAUCUGGUCAAACAUACCGAGAAUGCAAAAAGUUUGCCAAAGGGGAAAAGUUUCGUAUCAAGUUAAUGACAAAACAUCUUUUAGAAGGUUCUGAUUUUUCAAAUUUUCCUUGUGACAUACUUAUAUCCACGCCCUUUCGAUUACGCUUGGCUACCCAGAGGAAAAAGCUUGAUCUCAGCAGGUGUGUAAUAAUAAAAAAAUCUGGCUUAUUGAUUUAAUCUUAUUACUCUCUAAAAAAUAAUCAAGUAAAUCAUUACAUGUAUAUUAGUCCAUAGGGAUUACUUUAAAUUCCUGUGAUGAUGGUCUACAGCUGCUCCUCUAUGCCACUUAUGCUGUAGUUUAAAUAUCUCAUAUUGAGCUAUACUUUGCUUUGUCCUUUCUCGACCAAUUGCAUGCUAAAUCGUGAAAUUAUCUCCUGGGUUGGUACUUUCUUUUUGCUGUCAUUCUUCAUUCCUUCUGCUAAAAUACAAUAUCAUUGAGGAACAUUUUUCCUGUUAUUCUUCAUUCUAUUUGCGUUUACGUUUCUUUUUAUCUGGCCCUGUGGAAUUAAUGAAGUAGACACGAGUAACCAGUUGAUCAUUCAGUUGACUCAAACCAUAAACCCAACAUGGAAAUCUAAGUUGUUUCAAAGUUUACCACCCCAGGAGAAAGUAAUUAAGUCUAAACACAUUCCAAAGUGUUUAUUGAGAAGCAAGCAAUUGCUAAAUCCAUAUGAAUAAUCGGUUGGAGUCCAUUAUUGCUGUCAAAUAUCUGCCAUGUUGGCGCCAUGGCGGAUUGCAGUGUUUUUUUUUUGACAAUUGUCAUGGCCAAUUUGUGAAGAACGGUGGUGCCAUGACCUUUUAUGGUGUACUUUUGGCUUUCUGCCAUGGUCUUCCAUCCAUUUGCCAUCGAUAACACUGGAGCCCAUUGAACAUGAAAACAAACACACGUUCAGCAGCAUAAUUAUUUCUAAAGAUUAUGGUUUCAUAUAAGAUGGGAGAAUCAAAUAUCUGUUGUAUAUUGGUAAAACAAAUUCAGUGUUUGUUUGCCUCUCAGUUGGCUGUGAUGUUAUUUAAUGAUAAAUUUGAUUGGGUACAACAAAUUGUGGCAUGGUCCAACCCUAGUUGGUGUCGGCUGUUGUAAUGUAAAACCUUAACUACUUAAAUGGUUCAUGCAUUUUCAAAUUUUGCUUGCUGCUUUUAGCUGUAUUCAAUGUUGUGUCUGCAAAGACAGUAGUAAUAAACACUAGACAUGCAAUGUGAUUACCAAAUAGGCGUGUUGAUGUUUUUUUUCUUUCAACUCUUUUGGUUGCUGCAGAGUUGAGUAUCUUGUCCUUGAUGAGUCUGAUAAGCUAUUUGAGCCUGGAAUGUUCAAGCAGAUUGAUGCUAUUAUCAAAGCAUGCACAAAUCCCUCAAUAGUACGCUCUCUAUUCAGUGCUACUUUACCUGAUUUUAUUGAAGAUAAAGCUCGAGAACUUAUGCAUGAUGCUGUUCGCGUAAUCGUUGGCAGGAAGUAAGUUCAAUAAAAAAUUUACAAUAGAACAUUAUGCUCAUGUGCAUUACUUUAACUCUUCACCCUAUUGUAAAAGAUAACAUCUAAUACUUUUAUGGGAAUCAGGAAUAUGGCUUCUGAAACAAUUAAGCAGAGGUUGGUUUUUACUGGAAGUGAAGAAGGAAAACUUAUAGCAAUUCGGCAGAGUUUUGCAGAGGUAUGAAACUAAAAUGAAUGCUUUAGAUAAAAGGCAUUAUUAGUCAGUUUGUUUUUCUUCUGCUUCAAUAUGUUUUGUCUCACAGGUCACAACUUAACCUUGGUCAGUGUGGGUCUUAUUGAAAAGUAAUUAGAAACCUCAUUACAAUUUAUCGUUAAUAUGUAUUUCCUGUUGUUAAUCUGCCUAGUUAAGAGAAACUAUUAAUAAAGAUUUUGGAGAUUAAUGAGUUGGAUAUAAAUAUGAUAUAUGAUAAAAUAUUAUGACAUUGUUUGAUCCAUGUAGCCGACUCCAAAUAGUGAGAUAAGGCUUUGUUGUUGAUUGUAUGUUGCAUGCAUAUAGUUUAAUAUUUACCUUGUUUCAGUUUGGUGUUAAAUAAUGUAUUGUGAGUGUAAAUAUGUAACGACUUGGAACACUUGUUAUUGUAACAUCUACCUUUGAAACUAGCGGAAAGAACAUAAUAUUGCAACACUUGUUUGCUCACUCCUAAUAUAUCAGUUGCUUGCAUUUGUUGACUUUGUUUUUUUUUGCUUUCCAUAUCUCGAAGAGUCUAAAUCCUCCAGUAUUGGUCUUUGUCCAAAGCAAGGAGCGAGCCAAGGAGCUGUAUGGUGAACUUGCAUUCGACAAUAUUAGAGUUGAUGUCAUCCAUUCUGAUUUGUCUCAAGAAGAGGUAGUUCUCAAUCCCUUUGAACAAAAUAAGCUUCUUGUUGGAAAGUAUGAAGGCACUCUGAAACGUUUUUCCCUUCAGCCAAAAAAUGCAAAAAGAAAAAAGAAAACCCAUGAAUUAUAUGACCAAGAUCUCUGGCCCAUACUAUUUAUAUGGUGAAGAUGUCAAAUUAUAGUAUUCCUUGUUUGUGCAAUUGCUUUUGUACUUGACUAAUCUGCUCAUCAUUACUGAACAAGACAAACCUGUUUUUAAUAUACAAUUCUGUUUAACUUUUAAUCUCUGAUCAUCAGCAAUGGGUACUCCAUUAUGAAAGCGCAUAUUUGUUAAGUUAGCUGUAGCCUGUAACUAUGAUGUGAUUUUUUUAAUCUCUUGAAUUCUAUACAGCGAGAAAACGCAGUUGACAACUUCAGAGCUUGUAAAACAUGGGUUUUGAUUGCCACUGAUGUGGUUGCUCGAGGAAUGGAUUUCAAAGGCAUUAACUGCGUGAUCAAUUAUGAUUUCCCAGAUUCUGCAUCGGCAUAUAUCCACAGAAUUGGUUAGUGUCACGACAUGAACAUUUUUUUUUUAAUAUUUAAGAAGUGUUUAGAGGGGCUGUGAUUUGUAAUAUUCACUCACUGAGCCUUUUCUUUAUUAUAUAUUCUUUGAUACAUCAAUUUUUAAUAAUGAUUUGAAUCUACUUUUUGCUAAAUAUAAAUGUUGAUAUUUCAAUAGGUCGAUCUGGUAGAGCAGGGAGGAGUGGCGAAGCAAUUACAUUUUACACAGAAGAGGAUAUUCCAUUCUUGAAGAACGUAGCUAAUCUAAUGGCAUCCUCAGGCUGUGAAGUUCCAUCCUGGUUGACGGAGUUGCAGAAAAAGAAGUGGAGGAAGCACCGACCCAAAAGAGAUUCUAUCUCAACUAAACCUGACAAAGUUGCAAAAAAACAAGUGACAGAAAAAGCAGUGGAGGAAGCACCGGCCGAAAAAGAUUCUAUCUAGACUAAACCAGAUCUUUAAGUCUAUUACAACAACAAAUUGGAACAAGUUUUUGACCUGUGAAAUUUCUUGAAGUGUUUAUUUCUUGAAAGACCAUGCAACAGUGUUAAUUUAUAAUCCUCCCUCUCCAAAAAUGAUGAAAAGGGGGUGACUGGAUGGUGUGCGGGGAAUGUUGUCUAAUGCUUAUAUAAGUUCCAACCAUGAUAUAAUCAUAUACAUUACCUUAGUGCCAGUUGCAACACCCAUAAAUGGGAAUUUUUGGGCCUUCCUUUGUACUGAACAAGCAAUUUUGUUGAUCCUAAAAUGUCUGAUUUGAUAUACGUUGAAACAACAUUUCAUUCAAUAGAUUUUUAUUGUGUGAUGGCUUUCUACACAGUAUGUUAGUAAUUCUUCCAAUGCCAAGGCAUGCACAUAAUACAUGCAAUUCUGUAGUAUAUGUCAAUUAUUUAAACAUUUUAUGUGGGCUAAGUCUCUUAACAUAAUUUAAGGAUUUAAUUUGUUCCAUUAUUUAAUAAGAGUAAAAAGUUUUACAUUGUCGAUUCAUCACCAUCAUCCGUUUGUAUUAUUUUGUAGGUUUUUAAGAUAAAAGUCAAAUUUGGUUCAAUAUCCAACGUCUAUAAUUAAUUGAUGGUGUAAAAUUCUUUUAUACUGUCAGUGUAUUUCAAUUAAAUUCAUUUAAUAAAUGUUAUUUUUUAAUCAUUUAAAAACUAUUUCAUGACUUAUGUGAAUGACAUUAUCUCAACAUGAAAGAAGUGGAGGAAAAAAUAGUGUUCGUAAAUGUUUUUUUUUUGUAGAUUAGCGAAAACCUUUGUAUCUUUUUAGAAUAACUUCAAAAUCAUAUCCUUUUAGAUUAAUCAAUAGUGAAUCGAGAUUUUGAUUUUGAUAUGACUUGGAGUCCUUGUUGGUUUUUUAUUUCUUUAUUCGGUGAUCUAUGAUCUAUUGAUGGUGGGUGUAUUAACUUAAGAUCUAACUUGCUACUUUUUAGUUUGGAGCUCGAAUAAACAGUUUUUCCUUUGGUUCUGUCAUGUCUUAAUGUUUCAUUAGUUUUUCUUCACCUGUUUGUAUUAUAUAUUAAUAUAUAUAUAUAAUAUAUAUAUAUAUAUAUAUAUAUAUAUAUAUAUAUAUAUAUAUAUAUAUAUAUAUAUAUAUAUAUAUAUAUAUAUAUAUAUAUAUAUAUAUAUAUAUUAUAUAUAUAUAUAUAUAUAUAUAUCAAUAUUAUUUUAUUCGGCUUAUGGUACAGCUUGUGCUAUUUGAUUUUCUUUUAUAUUUUGUGUUGAGUAUGACUUAUCAUGUAGAAACUCUAAACAGGUCUUUGGACCACCUGUUUGUUGGGGUAACUUAGGAUUAAAGUUUAGGUUUAGGGGUAUUUCACUUGUAACACUGUAACCCUUAAUUCAUAAGACAAAAGUCAAUGAUAGAAUGUGAUGAAAGUAUUGAUCGAAAUUGCGUUAAAAAAGAUCAAUCAUGUUCAUUGUCUUUUACAUUCGUUUCUCUUUAAUCCUCUAUGUUGGUUGUUGUUCUAAUAGUUGGUAACUCUAGUGUGAAAUUCGAGGUAACAAGGUUUGACGAGACAAAUAAUUUUGGAUUAUGGCAAAUGAGGGUUAAGGAUCAAUUGACUCAUCAAAGUUUAUAGAAAGUGUUGCAUGAGACAAAAUCGAACGACAUGGAGGAUACCGACUGGAUAGAGAUGAAAAACAAGGUUGCGAGAUUGAUUCACAUAUGUGUUUCAGAUGAGGUGAUGUAACAUAUCCUGGAGCUGACGACGCUGGAGGAGGUUUAAGACAAACUGGAAAGUUAGUAUAUGAAAAAGACGUUGACGAACAAAUUACUCCCUAAACAUCGACUAUACAGUCCGAAGAUGCAAGAAGAACCUGAUUUGCAACAACAUGGCAAUGCCUUCAAUAACAUAAUCACCGAUUUGGUGAGGCUUUGGAUGAAAAUUAAUGAAGAUGAUAAGGCAAUUAUCUUUCUCUGCUCGUUACUAGGUUCUUAUAACCACUUGGUGACCUAUGGAAAAGAAAAUAUAAGUCUUGGUGUGAUUACUGCUAUUUUUUUUGUCUCAUUCUCAAAAGAGACAAAGUGUAGAUGAAUGAACUUAAGGCGGAGAUUUGUAUGUGAAAGGGAGUCAAAAUCGUGUGCAGAAUAAGAGUAAUGGAGGUUCUGGAAAAAAGAUGUAUAAAUCUCGGAAUCGGAAAACAACUUAGUGUUAUAGUUGUAAACAUAUUGGGCAUUGGAAGAGAGAUUGUCCAAACAGAAAGCAAGCCUCAUCUAGUUUUGCAAAUGUAGUCCAAAUAGAUGACUUUGGUAGUGAAGCAAAUAUACAGUGUAUUUCAUCCAACCAAUGCACAUAUGUGUGGAUUCUUGACUCUGGUUGUUGUUACUACAUGACACUGCAUCGAGAAUGGUUCACUACAUCCCGGUCAGGUAGUUUUUUUUUUUUAUCAAGUGAUGAUAAAGCAUGUAUUAUCACCAGAAUGGGACAAAUUAAAAUUUCCAUGGACAAUGGUGGCGUUCAACAUUGUACGAACUCAAAUGUAUCUUAGAAUUAAGGAGGAAAUUGAUUUCCCUAGGUACUCCACAGACAAAUGGUUUUUCUUACAAGUAUGAUGAAGAUAGCCACAUUAUGAAAGUUAGCAAGGGUGAAUUGAAUGUGAUGAGAGCAAAGAGGACUGCAAGUAACAUCUACAAACUAUUGGGGAAGAGGUUUGUAGGUGAUGUUGCAUUAGUUGAGUCUAAUAAUGAUGCAACCAAACUCUGGCAUAUGCGUCUGGUUCAUCUCCAUGAGUGUGGGAUGAUGGAACUUCAUAAGAGGAAUCUAUUGAAGGGUGUUUGUAGUUGUAAGAUGGAAUUGUGCAAGUAUUGUAUACUUGAGAAAUAUUGUAGUUUUUGGUUCAAGACUAUAAACAAUGAAUUUUAGACUAUGUGCAUUAAAAUGUGUGGGGUCCUACCAAAGAGGUUUCCAUGGAUGGUUCCAGGUAUUUUGUGAGUUUCACAAAUGCUUUUUCUCGCAAGGUUUGGGUGUAUUUCUUGAAAUAUAAAGAUGAAGUCUUUACCAAAUUCAAGUUGUGGAAGACAGAGGUAGAAAAUAAAAUAGGAAGAAAAAUCAAGUAUUUAUGAUCAGAUAAUCAAACAUAUUACGCUGACUUGAAAUUCAAGAGGUUAUGUGAAGAACAUUAUAUUCAAAGAUAUUUAUCAGUUUGCAAGUCACCACAACAAAACUGUAUUUAAAGAUAUGGGUUUGAAUGGUCGGGGGGAGGGGGGGGGGGGGGGGGGGGGGUGGGGGGGGGGGGGGGCUUUGUUCCCAAAAAGACCGUUACAAAAAAUUCUUUUAUAAAAUUAGAGUUUUAAAAAAUGCUUGGCAUAGAGAAAGUUUUCGUAUAAAAGAUGUGAUUGGAUUGAUGAUAUAAUACAUACUUAUUACCAACAAAAAAUAAAGAAGCAAAAGAAUAGUAGAAGAGAAUACUAAAAUGUACUCGAUGUUUUGAUUGAACUAAGUUCAUUUUACACGAGAUUUGUAAACCAAAUUUUCUCAAAUGAAUAAGGAUUAUAUAAUCACAGUUUUCACUUUAUUCAAAAGUAAGAAUGUUUAGGAACUUGAUCUAACACAUGCCUAAUUUUUAUACACAAAAUCUCUAUGCACGCGGUAAAAUCUAUCAGCAUGCGAUUUCUAAGAGAAACAAUUAACCUAAACAUACAAUACUAAACGAAAUAUAAAAGUGCGAGAGAGGUAAAGAUAGUACGCCAUAUUUAGAGUGUUUCAGCGUUUCGUCAUCGUUUGAGCUUAAUCCACUCUCCAAUGCUUCCCAUUGAAAGUUUGUUGUUGCUCCACUAUGACUUUGACAAUUUUCACACAGAGUAUUUUAAUACAAUAAUGAUUCAAAUCAUGCUGAAAAUACACGAUCUUUAGUCUAAAUCUCUCUUUGACUAUAAACAACGUCUAAAAUCGGUUCCUACAAUUUUUACUUGAUCUCGACUUCUUCCUUCCAAACUCAAGAAUUCUCCUCCAAACGUCCGUUUUGCAUCGACCUUUACUCAGUCCUACCAGUUCCUUGACUUGUCUGAAGGUGAUAGAAACUCCAACUCCGUCUGUAGUAGCUUCCACACAGCUUUAUCGAAGCAAUCUUGAAGAAAAUAAACUCGUUCUUUUUCACAGUUGGAUUGCCGAUCUCAGACAGUCAGAAUUGAGUUUUUACCUUGACUUGUUUUUCCUAGGUAAAAUUGAAACGUAAAAUCGUAGAGUUUAUCUCAUUAAAAUAAUAUUAAAUUCACACACACACACACACACAUACACACACGCGUGCGCGUGCAUGCAUGGACACGUAUACGCGCGCGUACACGCACACAUGCACAUAUGCUCACACAUGCAUGUAACAUGAGCACACACGCACACACACACACACACACACAUACACACACACACACACACACACACACACACACACACACACUUGCACACACUCGACACACACACACAUACAUACAAACACACACCCACACACAUAAGCACAUACACACACACACACAUGCAUGCUUGCACGCACGCACGCGGGCGCGCGCACACACACACACACACACACACACACAAACGCACGGUAAAUGCACACACACACACAAACGCACACGUAAAUGCACACGUGCACACACACGCACGUGCACACACACAAUGAGAUUUAUCAUGUCAGAACCAAGCAUAUUGAAUGAUGUGAGUAUGAGUGUUCAUGGAUGUGGGUCAACCCAUGAACCUGUUGACCCAAACCUAACCAACCCAUAAAUUAUCCGAACUUAUUCAUUUACGAGUAUACCCAAUCCAAUCCUUAACAACCCGUAUAAUUUUGGUUCGGGUAUCGGGUUUGAGUUUUGCAACCCGUUGACCCAACCCAUUGAUGUGACUUUAAUAAUUUCUUAUUAUUUAUUUAUUAUAUUAAAUAAAAAUAUAAAAUUAAUAUCAAACUAAUAACCAUAAUUUUUCCAUUUUUUUUAUUCUCCACCAAUAAUACUACUAGACGAAUGAGUUUACGUAAUUCUAAGAUUAAAUGUUGUUUCUUAUUUUCUUUUGUAUCAUUUGCAACUUAUGUAUUUUAUGGAAAUAAUGUGUCUUUUUGAACUUUAUAAUAUUAUCAAGUGUUAUGUCGUGUUGAUGAAUUUUAUUAGAUCUUAUAUGACAUGUUUUAUCUAAUUUGAGUGUUAUAAAUGAGUAUGAUUGUAUUGAGUCGCGUUACAUUUUUUUAAACCGACAAAAAGAGUCAUAAAAAUUAUAUUUUUUCUUUGAAACACAACCUGCGAACCCAACUCAACCCAACCCAUAAAUGAACGGGUCGAUUCAGGUCAGUUUUGACAAUGAAAUUGCGAGUUUAGCGAUGGACCCAAUUCAUUGAAAUUUGAAUGAGUUGGAUAAUGGUAUAUGUCAAAUCUGGUCUAACCCAACCCGUGUACACCCCUAGAUGUGACAUUUCAAAAGACCAAAAAGUAACUUACAUAUAGACAAGUAUUACUUGAAAAAGUUCAUACUUCAGAUUAUGUAACUGAUAUGUUGAACAAAUCCGUCAUUAGUGACAAAUUCAAGCAUUGUUUAAGCUUGUUACACGUUUCUCAGUGUUAAGUAGGAGGUGUAUCUCCAUAGUUUUCAAGAUGUGAUCGCCAUGCUAUAAGUCCGUAUAGGGGUUUGACAUUUACUAAGAUGAAGAUUUUGAGAAAGUCUCGUAUUAUGUAAAACCUUCAAACGAGUCAUAGAUCCAAUAGUUUGUUGUGGGUAUCUAUGGAAUAUAUAUAUAUAUAUAUAUAUAUAUAUAUAUAUAAUAUAUAUAAUAUAUACUAUAUAUAUAUAUAUUAUUAUAUAUAUAUAAUUUAUAUAUAUAUUAUAUAUAUAUAUAAUAUAUAUAUAUAUAUAUAUUAUUAUAUAUAUAAGUUUAGAAGUACAAAAGUAUUAUUGUAAACUGAAAAUAAUAUUAUAUAUAUGAUUUGUAUCAAUGUAACCCUACUUCAUAAGACACAAAUUAAAAGAAUUAUAAUUGUUCUAUAGUCACAAAAGUGUACACCAUUGAUCAUACCGUAUUAACAAAGAUUAGUCGUAUUUAUUGUCUUUUAUUUCCGUUUUCAUAUUGGUUGUUAUUCUUUGUUGGGGUCUUUUACCCUUUAUAUUUAAUAUAUUAUCUUGCCUUUAAAAAAUAGUAUACAAACUAAUUUGGGAAAGUAUCUAAAUCAUUAGCAACCACUAUCUAAAAAAAUUGUUUUCACAUAUUAAGAAAUUUAGGGAAGUUUAAUGAAUUUUCUCGACUUUUUUGUUGUUGUUGUAAGAUAUAAGUUAAAUUUAUUAAAUUAUCAUUUUUUAUAUUUAGAGAUUUAACUAUCCGUAUUAGAUGUUUUGAAUAAAAUGAAAUGUAUAUUAGAAAUAAUAUCAUUAAAUAGUGUAGGCCUUAAAACCUUUUUAAUAGUUGGGAAAGAUCAGAUAGCUAAACUUAAAUGCCUAUUAAUCAAAUCACAUAAAGGAGGAAAAACACCAAAUACUAUUACUAAAACAUAAAAUUGUAAAAGAAACAUUUUAGUGUUAACAAUAUUAUCAACCCUCGGGGUUAGUCAUCACAAAUUUCUUGUAGUGCUUCGUCAAAACUAUCUUGGGUUUCUAUAUAGUUUCUGUAUUAAAUUCUCAGAUGUGAAAUACAUAUUUUGAAGGUAACAAUUGUACCAUAAACAGCUGCAAAUGACAGAUGAAAUUAAUUUAACUGAAUAUAACUUUGGAUCAAACUUUUUGUUAUAAAAAGCUGUAGCUCCAAUAUUAUGAAGCACAAACAUUUGAAAUACGACGCUGCUGACACGUUAACACAAGUAAUAAUUUUUAAAAAAUGAAUAAAUUAAGCGUAAUCACAAAUAUAGGUGUUGGAUUCGGAUACAGACGCUGACACAUACACACAUUUUUUCCCGAGGUGUCAGUGCUAUAUAACUAUAAUCCAACUACAAAUUUUCAACUUUUUAACUACCAAAUGCUAAUCUCUAACCUCUGGCAAAGAUCAUAGCCAUCAUCUAGCACCUGCAGCCAUAACUCUUCAAGCAUUGUGUAAAUGUUGCUCCUUUGUGGAUGUGAGCUAUCUUCAGAGAAGAAUAUAUGGAUCUUAUCCUUAACUUCUAUCCAGCUUUGACCAGGUACCUUUUGUACACCCAUUUGUUUCAUUAGGUUCCUUAGUGUAGCAACAUCUUCCCAAUUACCAGCAGAAGCAUGUAUGUUAGAAAGCAUCACCAUUGCCGCAGAGUUGGAAGGAUCGAGUUUUAGUAUAUUUUCUGCAGCUCUCUCUGCAAUGUCAACUUUAUUAUUAUGAGUUUUACAAGCAGCAAGUAGAGUUUUCCAAGUAGUAAUGUCAGGGUCAAAUUCUGAUUUCUGAAUAAAAGUCUCUGCUUCAUGGAAGCAUCCGGCACGAGCAAGCAAAUCAACCAUGCAAGAGAAGUGUUCUCUUGUCGGUGGAAUUCUGUAUUCUGUUUCCAUGGAUUUAUAUAAACGCCAGCCUUCCUCCACUAAUCCAAUGUGACUGCACGCGCUGAGAGCCCCGAGAUAUGUGACCUCGUUAGGCCGAACGCCAAGAUUUGUCAUAACUUUAAAGAGAUUAAGAGCUUCAUGUCCAAGUCCAAACUGAGCAUAACCAACAAUUAAACUACUCCAUGAGACAAUAUUUGGGCUCUGCGUUGAAUCAAAAACGUCGCGAGCAUGUUUAAGUGAUCCACAUUUUGCAUACAUGUCAAUCAAUCCAUUGCACACAGAAACAUCAAGCACUAGCCCACUUUUAAUACUAUAGCAAUGCACUUGAUUUCCGACACCUAAAGAUGUCAGCUCAGCACAGGUUCCUAAUAGAGUAGUUAUGGUGAUACUGUCAGGCUUAUUUUCAGAAUAAAGCAUUUGUUUAAAUAAUCUGAAAGUCUCUCCUUCUUGCUUGUGCUGCAAGCAUGCUGAAAGAAUUGCAUUCCAAGAAACUAAGUUGGCAUUUCCGCUUACAUCUCUGAAAACAUUUAAUGCAUCAUAUAGAUUUGAGCACUUUGUGUACAUGGUUAACAAGGAGUUGCAUACCGAUACUUCCUUAUCGAGACCGAUUUUGACAAUGUAAGAAUGAAUGUGCAUACCCUGGUUAGAUGCUGUGGGGCUCCCACAAGCGCAAAGUAAGGAAAUAAAAGUAACGUUAUCUGGGAUCAGUCCUGUUUGCAUCAUCCGAUGGAAAAAAUCUAUGGCUUCAUUAGCAUCACCAUUGUCAGCAAAUGCUGCAAUAAUUGCAUUCCAUGACACUAUAUCAGGGCUUUUAAUCUGAUAGAAUGCCGUCUUUGCCGAAGGUAAAAAUCCGAAUUUUGCAUACAUGUCACAAAGGGAGCAUCCAGCGAAAACGUUCCUCCCUAAACCGAAUUUAGCGCACAUUCCAUGUACUUGCUUUCCAUACUCUAGUUCAAGAAGGUUGCUGCAAGCACUGAAAACACUGCCAAAUAUGAACUCAUUUGGCUGAUAAACUCCCUGCCUGAGCAUAUCUCGGAAAAUAUAUAAAGCUUCUAUCCUAUAACCUUGUUGAGUAUAUCCCGUAAUCAUGGAACCCCAAGAAAUUAAAUCCUUUGUAGAAAUCGUUGUAAAUACAUUUGACGCAUGUGUGAUUUGUCCGAAAUUUGUGUACAUUGAAAUAAGAGCAUUUAGGGAGAUCAAGUGAUGACCAAACCAUGAUUUAAUGACAUGAGCAUGCAGUUGCCUACCUAAACCUAUAUCCCCGGCAAUGUAGCAAGCCUUAAUUAUGCUUCCAAAGGUUAACUGGUCCGGAAAUUGACCCGAUUGCAUCAUUUGAAUAUACAUGAUGAUGGCAUCGUUCUCUUGACUGUUCUGUGAGUAUCCGGAGAUCAGUGAAGUCCAAGAGACCACAUUUCGUAGCUGCAUUGUGUCAAAAACUUUUCUAGCAUCAUUCAUAGAACCACAUUUUCCAUACAUGUUAAUAAUAUGAUUUUGGAGAAUCAUGCUUGGUUGGCAGCUGGAUUUUGAAAUGUGAUCAUGGAUUUUCUUUGCAUAUUCAAGUGAUCUAGAGUUGGCGCAAGCCAAAACUAAACUCGUAUACGUGCUUGGUUCAAAAUGGAUAUUCGGAUUCUUUAGAUGAAAAUCAAACACUUCCAGCGCUUCUUUGUAAUGCUGUUGCUUACACAACAAUAUUAUGUAACUAUUAGUCGGUAGCUCUGUACUUAGAUUAGAGACAGUUGCUGGUUGCAGAACAGGUCUUACAUGAUUAUGCAUACAUCGAAUGAAGCUUCGAAUUGUCAUAGACAUGGAUGGGGUUUUUGAAAACUAGAAAAAGUAAAACUACUGUUAUUUGACGACAACGGAAGAAACCUUAAAGGGCAAGAUGGUUUCAGGACAGUGAAGUGGUUACAAAUGAGGGUUUCUGAUUCUGACUAAGGAUAUAACAAAAAACAGUAGUAGGAUGAUCAGAAAGUGAGUGUUUCCAAUGUAAAUAUAUGAAAUAUUAACAUGAACCAUGUAACUAAAUAUGCUAUAUUAUGCUAAAGCCACUUCCUAUAUGUUACUAUCUCGCUGUGGCAAUUUGUCAAACAGCUACUAUGCAACAAAAUUGCAUUCUAAAAUGUGUACAACAAUGAGUUAGAAAAACUGUAUAAGUGCAUAAUGAUCAUCUUUAAAAUAGUUUAACAACUCAAAAUUGGAGGAAAUUUAUGGAUUCCAAAACCACAAAAAAGUUAUGAUAACUGAAAAUAACGCACCUGAAGUCUCUGGUUAGUGCUCAACCAGAGAGAAUACUAAUGUCACGUGCUUAUUGUUAUUGUUAUUACAAAACUACCCACUAUAUUUUCUUUAUUUAUAAAAUUUAUGUUUUUAAGAUAAAAAACAUAAAAUUUUAAAUAAUUCAUUUUUUCAAAUAAAUAUCCAAAAUAACUCAUUUUUUCAUCUAUUUUUCAAAAUAACCAACUUUUAAACAAAAAAAAAUUUCAAAACAAAGGAGGCGUCAAUCCAAUUGACGUCUGUGUACAUCACAUAAGAGGAGAAGACAAUCCAAUUGACGACAUUGUACAAACACGUAGGAGGGAGAAUAUACUUUCUCUCCUAUACGUUUGUACAUUAUCGCCAAUUGGAUUGACCUCUCCUCGACCUCUCCUCCUCUUCUGUGUUGUACACGGACGCCAAUUAUAUUGACGUCUCAUUUAUUUUGAGAUUUUUUUUUAUUUGAAUGUGGAUUACUUUAAAAAAUAAUUAAAAAAGUGAAUUAUUUAAUAUUUAUUUGAAAAAAAUUAAUUAUUAAAAAAGAAGACAUCCCUUGUCAUUUAGUCAUUGAGUUAAGUGAAUAAUAUAAAAAAGAAAUUUUAACUUUAAUUAUUUGUUAAAAUAAAUUAUUUUUAAUUAAUAUUUUAUUUUCUCUCUAUGACAACCACACAUUUAAAAAAUAUGAAGCAGGUGUAAAAUUGGUGGGACAAUACUUCAAAUCAAAUUAAUAUGCAACGACUUUGUUCAAGCCCACAUUAUUAUCUUACUUCUAUUUGCAAUAAUUCUAUACUCCAAAUAUUCAUUAUGCUCAUAAUUAUCCUGCCAAAAAAAUUCCACAGUCAAACUUUAAUUAAAUUUUUUUAUGCACAUUCCUCUAAAUUGAUCCAAAAAAGUACCAAUUCAGCCUAAAUUAUAAACUAAACAAAUCCUAAUCACUAAUCAGCAAUAAUCACUAAUAAUAGUUAAAGAGACAGCUGCUACAAAAAAAAAAAAUAGAUUGGUACCAUCUCAACAGCUAUUUGGUAUAAGAUAGCAACUCAUCCUCUCACUCUCACAUAAAAAAUUAUUUUUCAUAUUCUUUAUAUAUAUUACUUUUGCUUCAAGUCACAACCAAGUGAAGCAAUUCCAAACAAAAACUAGUAAUUUAGUUUGAAAGUAUCAAUCAUAACCUCAUAAAAUUUCAAACGUUUUCUUUAACACCAAUACUUUAUACUUUAUGUUCCAUUUUAAAUAACCUUCUCUUCACUUCAUUCUCUUCCAACCUGAAAAUUUUCUGGUCAAUUUUUUCAUAACAUGGGUUCACUAGAAAGGUCAAAGAAAAAAACCCAUUUAUGGAAAAAAGCCAUGCUUCAUUUUUCUCUAUGUUUUGUUAUGGGUUUUUUCACCGGUUUAGCUCCAUCAGGUAAAUCUCUAAUAUUUUCUAGCAAAAUUGAAGUUGCAUUUGCAGUUUCAAACGUAACAGAGUUUGUAACAGCAGCACCUCAACCUUCUCAAACUUCAACGAAAAAUAGUAACAAAAGUUGGAUAGCUUCAGCACCGAAAAUCCAUAGCCAAAAAACAAAGUUGCAUGCAAAACCACUACCUCAGUUAAAGCCGAAAAGACUUGUUAUCAUAGUAACUCCAACUAGCACAAAACUACCUUAUCAAAAUGUUUUUCUGAGAAGGUUAGCGAAUACUAUAAAGCUGGUUGAUCAACCGGUGCUUUGGAUUGUCGUCGAGGCGAAAACCGAUUCGCCGGAGUUGUCGGAGAUUUUAAGGAAAACUGGUAUCAUGUACAGACAUGUUGUUUUCAGUGAAGAGUUUGAGGAUUUAGAAGGUGAAUUGAAUCAUCAGAGAAAUUUAGCACUUAGUCACAUUGAACAUCAUAGAUUGAGUGGGAUUGUUCAUUUUGCUGGACUUUCAAAUGUUUAUGAUCUUCAAUUCUUUCAACAGCUUAGAGAUAUUGAGUAUGUUUUCUAACCCUUCUAUUUGCUUAACUAAUUAUUAAUUAUAUUAUUAUUAUUUUGUUGUCUUAUAGUGAUUUGUUCUAAUUUAAAUGUAGCUAGUGGGGGGAAGUUUUAAAAAUAAGCAAAUUUUUUUCAAUUAGAUGGAGAAAAGUUAGUGAGAAAAUCUUUAGGUAUACCAAAAGAUGAUGAUGAUAACUUUAGUGAAUCUUCAACUUAGAUAAAAAAUCAUAUACAAAGAAGACUAUUUAAUUAAAUAUGUAUAAAAUUAUUUUUUAAAAUUAAUAUUAAUAGUAUUUUUUGUAUUAGUAUUAAUAUUAUUACAUAAGAUUUUGUUAUUAGAAUUUAUUUAUAAAUUUGUUGAUAUUUUCAGUAACUUAUGUUUAUUAAUUAACAUUAAUAUAACAUUUUAAAACUUCAUAUUAAAUAUUAAAAUAUAAUUUAAUAUCACUUACUUAUGAGUUUGUUAAUAAAUUUUAAAUAUGACUUUAGAAAAUAUAAAAUUUAUUGAACUUUAAAUUAAAUUAUAAUAAAUUACUUGUCAAAUUUUAAAAGCUUUUAUCUGAUAAGACUUAAUUCAGUAAAAAUUUACAUGUUAAUAAAAUCAAAACUAUCAUUGAAGUAAAUUUUUUUAAUGAUCUACAAAUUAUGAUAUUUUACAAUUACUAGUUGAUUUUUAAAUUUUUUAAAAAACUUAUAUGCUUAAUUUUCUUUAAUAUUUUUACAAAAUAAUGUGUUUCAAUAUUUUAAUUGUGAUUAAUGUGACAAUUGAGCAGGGUCUUUGGGACAUGGCCAACAGCAUUAUUACUUGCAAAUAGAAAAAGAGUCAUACUUGAAGGACCUGUAUGUGACUCAUCUCAAGUUAUUGGAUGGCAUUUAAGAAAUAUGAACAAUGAAACAAUAACUCCUCCCAUUCAUAUUUCAAGUUUUGCAUUCAAUAGCUCCAUUCUUUGGGACCCUGAAAGAUGGGGUAGAACUUCAUCUGUUAAACACACUUCUCAGGUAAUUAAUCACUUCAUAAUCAUGUUUAAUCUCAUUCUAAAAUAGGUAAUUAAUUAAGUUAGUUUAUAUCACUCCUUCACUUUUUACAAUUUUACUUGCGUCUACUUAACAUUUACCCAACUACUUUAAAAAGAAAACUCAAACGCAAGAAAAAUUAUGCAUUAAGUAAUGUAUAAUGACAACAUGAUUAAUUAGUUGAACUAAUUGAAUAGAACAAUACUACUAAUUAUGUAGUGUUUUCUACUCCAUGUAGUAAUGUUUUCUACCAAACAAUUUUGUUGCUAUUUUGUUUUUUUUGUCAUAAUAAUGAUGCUACUUUUUGUGUGGUUAUCUUAGAAUUCAAUCAAGUUUGUGAAGCAAGUAGUUCUAGAAGAUGAAACAAAGUUGAAGGGAAUUCCACCAUAUUGCUCCAAAAUAUUGUUAUGGCGUUUCAACUUCUAUGCUCGUGCCAUGUCCAAGCAUUAAUUUGUAGGAUAUUAGAGAGAAUAAGGAAUUUGAAGCAAUUCACAAAUUGCUUUUCUACUACAAAAUAUAUGAAAUUUAUUCAUUUUUUUUACCUUUUGUAAUUGUAUUUCGUAUAUAGUUUUUUUCUUCGUUCAUAAUUUUUGUUAGUUUAUGUAAGAGAGGCAAAACAUUUAAAGCAUAUUUUAUAUUUUUAUUUUUUUGAUAUAAAGGCACUAGAGUUUCUAGCAUAUUACUUAAUGCACCAUAAACAUUAUUUACUCUUGUAAAAAAUUAAAAUUAUCCUUAGAAUUUAGAGGUGCAUCCCGGAUGCAUACUAUUUACAUAAAUUAUUUUGUUUUUGAGUCACACAUUAAUUAUAAUUAAAUUUUAUCUAGAAAUGCAUAUAUGUAUUUUAUAUAGAUGUAUUUCUGAAUCCUAAUGAAUCAAGAACAAUUGCAUAAAUGAAACAGAUACACAGUCAGAGAUAAAUUAACAUCAAUAAUUGUUAUGACAUACAUAAAAAUCGAAACAUUAUAUUGAUAAUUGUUAUGACAUGCAUAAAAAAAUGAACUAUACAUUUCAUCAUCAAGUAUGACGUUGCAAUAUCUUCAAAAUAUCUUCGGUGGAUCUCGUAAUUUUCACAUCCAACUCGAUUGAACCUUUCGUUUUGUAAGGGUGAAAUGUACUCCACAUAACCCUUAAAUCAUCAUCUGUCUUCAGCUCAAACUUACUGAACUGAAUGUUUCCUUCGUUAUCAAUCGAGGGUGAACGACACUUGAGUUUGAUAACUUUUUGAUUGUCUAAGUAUUCUAGAAGAUUCUCAAAAUAUGCAUUUCAGAUCUGCAAGAGAGGUGUACUCAGUGACCUUAAAUUCAAGUGAGACAUUCACGACGUUGAAGUAGACAAAUGCGACAUGCCAAUAUAUGUUAAUUCUGGUGUAAUGUGACUUUGUUAAAAAUUUGAGAUGAGAGAUCCAUUUUAUACAAGUUUUAGGUCAAUAUGGAACUUAGAAAUUCAAUCAUGUCCCAAGGGAAAUUCCGUAGAUGUACUUCUUAAAACACCCUACUUUGUUGUGUGAAAUUUAUGAAAAUAUGGUGCAUCAGAAAAUACAUUUUUGAAUAAAUUCAUGUUCGUAUUUUUUUAAAAUAUUUGGGAUGAAUCCAGAAAUGCAUUUUCGGAUGCACCAGAGACUGUUUGCUUAACCAAUUUCAGAAACAGAACCUGUUUUCCAAUAGAAAAUGGAGAAAUAUUUUGAAAAUUGAAACAAAUAUUAAAAUCUAUGAAAACAUAUAUAUUUAACAUCAUUAAUAUUAAUAUAAAAUUACAUACAAUACAUGUCUAACCAAAUAAACACACUGUUGAAUAAAAACUAAAAUGAAUCAAAACAUGUGUCACCGUCUAAAUCUAUAUGUAUGAGAAUUACACAUUUGACUUUUGUUUAUUUGUUUCUAUUUCAAUCUCGCUCAACUUGGUGAAUUCUUGCAUCCUAUCCAUAAAAGGAUUCAACAAAGUCUCAGUUUUCCAUGUUGAAUGAGUUGUCCACUCCAGGGUGUUAGGGGUACAGGGCAUCCUGAUUUCAAAACUAAAACAAAGUGUCACGUUUUUGAAAGUCAUUCAAUACACAUAAUACGAUCAAUUGGAUUUUGAGGUGGGACAAUGUAUAGUGGAUUUUUUUUUCGAAAACUAUAUCUUGUCAGAUCAAUACACACCUUAUUAUAUGCAUUUGUUAUAAGAUGACUCAUUUUAGUGAAGUACAUCCAUUUUUCUUCUGGCGUAGCUCCCCUAAUGCAAGGAAUAAGAGAUUCAUGAUAUGCACCAAAAUUUUCUUUUUUUCCGUAUAACACGUGUGUGAUUCUUUAUAGUCGUGUGUAUGAUUCUUUAUGCACCAAAAUGUAUGAUCAUCAUCUCCUUUACCGAGCAAAGCAGAAAUAUAUCGAAAACCGCCAUUAUCGUUGCCCUCAAUAUUCAUGAUCCGUUCUGAAGGGAUUUAAAGGAGAUUUUUCAAAAAUUUUGAUCCCCUUAGUGGAACAAUCCCGAUGAAUGGAUCUUAAUUAAAUCACUAAUCACGAAUCAAACACAAAUAAAGGUUUUGAAUUCUCUCUUGAAAUGUGCUUUAACUUUGAUCAUGAACGUGAAAAAUAACACCGUCUCUAUGAAGUCUACGCGAGUACAAAGUCGAACGUGAUGCUAGCAUUUUCUUUUUCUGAGAAUGACUUUGCAAAGGAAAUAAUUUUUCUAUUUAUAGAGAGCUACUAAAACCCUAAUAUGUUCUUAUUUUGGUCUUUGUAAAAAUAAGCUCAAUCUUAUUUAAUUAAAUAAUUUUAAUUAAAUAAAAUAUAUUUUAUAUUUAAUUAAAUUUUUUAAUUAUAUAAAAUAAAAUAUUAAUUAAAUUAAUCAUAUUUAAUUCAAUUAAUUAUCAAUUCUCAUUUAUUUAAUUAAAUUAUAUUUAAUCAAAUAAAUUAUAUAUGUAUUAAUAUAUUAAAUAAUCUAAAUACUCUUAACACAUGAUUAAAUUAAAUUAAAUCUUAUUUAAUUUAAUCAUUCAUUCAAUUAUCAGUACUCUAUGGGUGAUACUUAUUUGAGGACGAACAUGCAUUUUACAGUCAUACUCGUUCAAGGGUCCAUAAAUAUUAUUCCAGUAUAUAUAGGAGAUACAAAUCUCAUAUAAGUCAUCCAUGUCUCUUAACAUGAUUUAUAAAAUAUUCAUCCAUCAUCUUUAUAUCUUUAUAGGAAUUCUUUUAUGGAUAACUUUUGAAUGUAGUGUGUACUCAUUUAUGUAAUACCUAUAGCACUCGGUUGUUUUUCUUUGGUUUAUCAAAACAACCGAUGCUUGUUUUAGUGUUUUGACCAAUAUUUGAGAAUUGAAAUAAGUUCUUUUAAGUAGUCAUAAUUGCUCUCCAAACCAACGCCAGCUAGAGUUUAGUAACAGUUUAACUUGUAUAAACUUGCAUAUUAAACAAUUUAAAUUGAAUCGUUCACAAUUAUUAACCAAUGUCAUAAAGUGGUAUAAGUCCGACCCCUGUUAAUUCAUGGAUAAUCUGCAAACUUUAACAAAACAAAUAAUUUUAAUAUUUACUUAAAACUACCUUAAAGUAUAUUUGGAAAAUAUCUUUUAUCAUAGACCAAAUUAUAAGAGAUAAAUGUAUAUUUACUUUUAAAAUAAUUAUUAUAGGAGUCACUUAUAACUUAGGGUCUAAAUGAUUUAACUCACACAAGCUACAAUUUUAACGGAUUCAAAAGUUGGUCCAAUUGCUUAGUUUAGAAUUCUUUAAAAAAUCUAUAAAACUGAACUAUAAAUUUGAACCAUAUUGUUGUUAAAUAAAUUAAUCAUUCAUUUUUAAAUAACAAAAUUAAAAGAACAACACUGCAAAUAUAUAAAAGGUGAGAUACUAGGUUCGGGAGUCAUUUAAGUGAGAGAAAAAUAUUAGACAUCUCUCACCUCCAUUGUAUUCAAUGAAAUCCUCCUCUAAAUCUAGGGUUAGUGUGUUUUUAAGAGAAUUUUGCUUUAAUAUUUAUUAAUUAUUUAAUUAUUUAUUUAUUUAACAAAAAGAUAUUUGAUUAGAGAAAAGAAAAAUCAAUUACAAAAGAAGACUAAAAAAUGUUUUUGAUUAUUAUACUUGCUAGAAUCUUACAACUCUAACUCUAUGCCUACGUACCAUUACUUUUAAUGAAAGAUCAGAGUCUCGUAGUUCUGGUAGAAAAAUGUUUGUAGUUUUUAUCCCUUAAAAAUUCUUAAGCAUCGGGGACGAAAAAGUAAUUGAUUUUGAAAAAUGCAUCAAUGCACUAUGGCAGAUGACUUAUAGUUUGAGGUGAGUUUAAAUUAAUUUUAUUCCAAUUAUUGAUUAAAAAAAUAUAGUACUUAAUUUAUUUAUGAAAAUAAAUAUUAUAUAUUUAUAAGACAUAUCUCUUAUCCCGAUUGUAUCCCCGAUUUAUCCCUUAUUUUUAUCUCUUUGAAAUCCUAAAAAUCUAUCCCUUAUUUUAUCCCAUGUUCUUAUCCCCUUUGAUUGCAAAAAUAUAAUAUAUUAAAUAACUUAAAUAAGAUGUAAUAUGAUGUAUCCCUUAUUUUUAUCUCUUUGAAAUCCUAAAAGUCUAUCCCUUAUUUUAUCCCAUGUUCUUAUCCCCUUUGAUUGCAAAAAUAUAAUAUAAUUAAAUAACUUAAAUAAGAUGUAUCCCUCAUCCCGAUUUUAUCCCUUAAAACCCUAUAAAUUAUCCCUAAAAUUUCUUGAUUUAAUUAUCCCUAGUUUCUAUAAAUCCCUAAUUAAUAUGACUAUUCUAAAUAAUUGAUGAAGAAUCCAACUUAAAAAUAAAUAUUAAAUUAAUGAAAUCCCCGAUUAUUAGUUUAAUUAAAUCCAAUUAAUUUUAAUAAACCAACCUUAAUAAUUAAAUUCCUAAAACUAUAUAUUCAUUAAAAUAAAUAUAUUUUAAAAAACAGGGGGGGUGUAUUAUGGUACUAAAUAAACAAUUGGGCUUGAAGCUGGGGUGUGGGAAGCAAUGGAAAGAAAGGCCCAAUACUCUCUGAAGUCUAACGCAUGGGGGUCUAUAGAAGGAGAGAGUCAAUCGUUGACUCUCUUUGGUUCCUUUGAUCAAGAUCAUGGGGAUGUUAUUACACUUAAUCAUAGCCUUUGGUUUGAUUGACUGGUCAAAGUAUAUAGAGUGUAUGAUUGAAAUGCAGAGUCAAAAGGGGACUCGGGGUAUACACGCAUACACAACGGGUGAGUUUUUUCCUGCAUUGCCCUCCUAUUGAAUUUUUUUAUCCAAUAUGCCCCAGUCUGAAAAUAAUUUCCCAAUCUACCCCCUUUUUCAAUUAGGGCUCGCCACUUCAAACGACGAGGGGAUGAAGGCCUAAUUUACGCAGUUAGGGCUCGUCACUUCAAGUGACGAGGACAUGAAGAAGGAUUUUUUUUUAAUAUUUUAAAUAUUGUAUUAAAUAAUAAUAAUAAUUAAUAUAAUUAAUUUUUAAUUAUUAAUUCUAUAUUUAAUUAAUAUAAUUGAUUUAAUUAAAAAUAAUAAUAAUUUUUUUAUAAAAAAAUAUUUAAAAUAAAUUGUAAAUAAUUAUAGUUUUUCAUGAUAAUAAAAAAAUUGUGAUANUGUAGAAAUUGAAGAGAGUAAAUAUUUGAAGAGGGUAAGAAUGUGUGAAAUAGAAAUUGUAGGUAGAUGAUGAGUAAGAAGUGUAGAAGUAUUGAUUAUUUAUAGUGGUAAAAUUAUAAUAAAAAAAAUUGGUAAAAGUUUGAAUAGUAGAGGAUUAGACAUUGCAUUGCAUGUCAUGCAUGCAAAAAAAAUUGUAAGGAUUCCCUGUAACAUGAGAUUCCCACGCUGAAGGGAAAACACAAUGCCAAUAGCCUGCACUAUGGCUCGUCACUUUGAUGGACGAGCUGUACCUACUUCUUUGAGGCCUCGUCAAAUGGAAUGGCGAGGUGAUUCAUCCUCUUUGUUGCCUCGUCAAAUGAAGUGACAAGUUCUGUAUGUCUAGGGUUUUGUCUCGUCAAUCCAAGUGAUGAGCUAUCACAUGCCAAUUUCCUCACGCGUUUCCCUACUUCUCCCUCCUCUAUUUAACUUAAAAUCAGCAUGUGAUUUGGAUAUUGUAUUAUAUUCACACCAAAUCAAACUCAUAUUUCCUAUAAAUACUACUAACUUCCUCAUUUACAUUCACCAAAUCAAAUCCUCAUUUAUAUUCACACCAAAUCAAAUCCUCAUUUAUAUUCACACUAAAUCAAAUAUUACACAUCCAUGGCUCAAAGAAAUUUAGUUGUUUCUAUCCAUUCCGAAGGGUCACUUUUCACAUAUUCAAGUGAGGGAUUCUCAUUUUGCAAUACGAAUUUAACUAUGUUCAAAAUCCACAUCAACUCCGACUUUCAUAAUUUAAAAGACCGUAUUGAAAAGAAGUUGCAACGUUAUGUUGAAGACAUCAUUUAUCGUCAACCAUUAUUUAAUGGAGAUGAUAAUACCGUCUUUCACAUAAUGACACCGAUUAAGACCGACGAAGAAAUUUGUUGUUCAAAUCCAAAUUGGAGUUUGACUCGAUCCGUCUGAUGCAUCUCAACGGUAUAGAAACAUAUGAUAUAUGUUGUUGCACUCCAGACUCGGCUGUCAUUAUAAUCAGGCACUGGAUAUUAUAUGUACGGCCUCCAAAUAAACUGUUAAAAGAAAUAUAACUAUUAGAAUGUAUAUUAAAUUUAAAUAAGUUAAAUAUUUUAAUUAAUCAUUCUUACAUCUUUUUCUUCCAUGUGUUCUAUUGCAACACGGUACCCUUGUACAUGAUGUCGAGGAUUAUUUCGAUAAUUCAUACCUCGUUUGCACCAUCUUGCAUAUUAAAAAAAAUAUGUUAAAUUGACGUAUAAUUUUUUUUUGAUAAAUAUAAAUUGCAUUUAAAUGAAAAUCGUUACCUUAAACCUCGUUACUAACCGGGGCUAUCAAGGGUAUGCGUGUGAAUGCCCAUACAGUUAGUAAUACCACACAUCCUCCUAUGCUCUUUACUCCUCUAUGGGCCGCCUUGCACAUAUGUCUAUAUAGUGUAGCCAAACAAGCAGAACCCCAACUGUAUGAAUUACAUUUUUCAAGGUCUCCUACUAAAGGUAACCAAGAAGAAUGCAACAAAUUGUGACUUUUAUCUGGCAUUAAAAAAGUAGCAAUUAAAAGUAAAAUAUAAAUUUUUGCAUGUAAAAUAUUUUCUGCCUCGGACGGGUUAGGGUUAUUUUUUAGUUGCGUUAAUACUGCGUCUAGCCAAACAAUUUUGACAGAAGCCCCAUUUUUAUCCGAGGGCGGUUGGUUCGAUGCCCAAAUUUUCCAUGUAAACGGCACUGGUUACGUUUGUUGGGCCAUUGACAGCUUUUCCAUGGAUUCGGAGACCGAAUAACAUACUCACAUCCUCUAAUGUGAUGGUACAUUCACCUGUUGGUAAAUGAAAUGUAUGUGUCUCCGGUCUCCAUCUCUCUAACAAUGCCACAAUGAGUUUAGAGUCUACUUUUAGACUUGCAAUUUUUGCCACAUUCGCAAAACCUGCUAGCUCCAAGUACGGUAUUAUAACCGCACUUGGUUGAAUAUAUGAAUGCAAAUGAACCCGAAAUUUUCCAUCUUGCUGAAAUUAAAAUAAAUAACAGUAAUGAAUAUUUGGUCUAAUAAAGAACGGAAGUAAAAAACGAUAAUAAAAAACGAUAAUAAAAAACGGUAAAUUUGAAUGAGACUUACGUAUUCGACAAUGUUUGCCGCCGUCCCACGGUGUGAUUCACCCAUCCAUAAGAAAGACAUCUUGAAAGGAAGUGUAGAAAUUGAAGAGAGUAAAUAUUUGAAGAGGGUAAGAAUGUGUGAAAUAGAAAUUGUAGGUAGAUGAUGAGUAAGAAGUGUAGAAGUAUUGAUUAUUUAUAGUGGUAAAAUUAUAAUAAAAAAAAUUGGUAAAAGUUUGAAUAGUAGAGGAUUAGACAUUGCAUUGCAUGUCAUGCAUGCAAAAAAAAUUGUUAAGGAUUCCCUGUAACAUGAGAUUCCCACGCUGAAGGGAAAACACAAUGCCAAUAGCCUGCACCUAUGGCUCGUCACUUUGAUUGACGAGCUGUACCUACUUCUUUGAGGCCUCGUCAAAUGGAAUGGAGAGGUGAUUCGUCCUCUUUGUUGCCUCGUCAAAUGAAGUGACGAGUGCUUUAUGUCUAGGGUUUUGUCUCGUCAAUCCAAGUGACGAGCUAUCACAUGCCAAUUUCCUCACGCGUUUCCCUCUGUCUCUCUCCUCUAUUUAACUUAAAAUUAGCAUGUGAUUUGGAUAUUGUAUUAUAUUCACACCAAAUCAAAUUCAUAUUUCCUAUAAAUACUACUACUUCCUCAUUUACAUUCACCAAAUCAAAUCCUCAUUUAUAUUCACACCAAACCAAAUCCUCAUUUAUAUUCACACCAAAUCAAAUCCUCAUUUAUAUUCAUACUAAAUCAAAUAUUACACAUCCAUAUGGAAUGAGUCAUUUAUCGUCAACCAUUAUUUAAUGGAGAUGAUAAUACCGUCUUUCACAUAAUGACACUGAUUAAGACCGACGAAGAUGUCAGGUCGAUGUUUCAAUGUCAUGUAACAUUAUCUCAAUUACCCAGCAUUGAGAUAUAUGUUCGUCUAGUCGAUAAUCUUGAAGAACAACCGAGUGACAAUGUUGAGGAACAACCGUCUCACAACGAAAAUCACUGUUAUCCAACGCAAUCUGUACAGUCACACGACUAUGGAAUGAGUCAAGCCAUUGACGAAGAGCCGACUCAAAAUAAUGAACCUUUCAUACCAAAUGAAGAGGUGGGCGAGAAUAGUGAGGAUGAUCUUGAGGAGGUUCGAUUUGAAGAUCUAUUCGGUGUUAGCGAUGACGAUGGCAAUGAGGAAAUAUUCGACACACCGGCCGUUGCACUAAGAGCGCAACCAAUUAGUUUGUACAACCCACCUGCGCACAUGCAAAACAUAAGUUUGGAUGAUGCCGAACCAAUCUCCGUUUUCGGCAGUUUCAUACCAACUCACAACUUUGACGAAAUAGAGGAGGGCAUAGAGUAUGAAGAUAAGGAAGAGUGUCUUCUGGCGUUGCAACAAUGGCAUAUAAAACGUAGUCUAGAUUUUUCUGUGGUUAAAUCUGACAGUGUAUGUUUUGUCAUCAAAUGUAGAAAUUCAACAUGCAAUUUCAAAUGCAGGGUCUCUUUGCGCAAGGGCAACUCAAGGUGGAGAGUUGGUAAGUCUAGUGGGCCUCAUACGUGCACAACCACUUCCAUGUCACAAGACCAUACAAAACUCAGUUCAGAAAUGAUUAGCAAGAGCAUAAUGGAGCUUGUAAAUCGGGACGCUUCUCUUAAGGUGAAGGUUAUCAUUGCUCAUGUUGUUGAGAAAUACCGGUAUAUCAUAUCAUACAAAAAGGCAUGGAUUGCAAAGUGUAAGGCGGUUGAGUCGCUCUAUAGAAAUUGGGAGACAUCUUACAACGAUCUUCUACAGUGGAUACUGGUAAUGAAAACAUAUCUACCAGGUACCAUUAUAGAAUUACAAACCCUACCUGUGAUUUCAAAUGAUGGUUCAUACUUGGGUGACCAAAGGAUAUUUCAUCGUCUGUUUUGGGCGUUUAGACCAUGUAUACGUGGCUUCGCGUAUUGUAAACCAAUUGUGCAGGUUGAUGGAACUUGGUUGUAUGGCAAGUACAGAGGGGCUCUGCUGAUGGAUGUGGCACAGGAUGGGAAGGGGAACAUAUUUCCGAUAGCGUUCGCAUUGGUUGAAAGUGAGACAAAGGAAGCCUGGAGUUUCUUUCUUAAGAAUUUGAGAAUGCAUGUUACCCCCCAAGCAAAUCUAUGCCUAAUAUCAAACAGGCAUGAAUCAAUAAAGAAUGCAUACAACAACCCGGAAAAUGGAUGGCAGUUUCCUCCUUCAUCACACGUCUAUUGCAUUAGACAUAUCGCGCAAAACUUCAUGCGGGAGAUUAAAGAUAAGGAUCUGCGGAAAAUAGUUGUUAACAUGGGUUAUGCGUUAACAGAGGCAACGUUUAACUACUAUCGGGGGGAAAUCCGAAGAACAAACAACGACGCUUUAUCAUAGAUAGACAACAUCCCUCGCGAGAAGUGGGCAAGGGCAUUUGACGGAGGGCAACGCUGGGGUCACAUGACAACUAACCUAGCAGAAGCAACGAACGCGGUGUUGAAAGAAACCCGGAACCUUUCAAUCACUGCAUUGGUCAAAUCUACGUACUAUCGUUUAGGAUCACUAUUUGGUAGAAGAGGCCAUCAGUGGACAAAAAUGUUAGCCUCUGGGCAGGUUUUCACUGAUAACUGCAACAAGGGGAUGGCUGAGGAAGUCAUCAAAGCUAACACGCAUAACGUCAUGCAGUUCGACCGAGAGAGAUUUUAUUUCAUGGUCCAAGAGAAGAUUAAUCAUAACGACGGUCGACCAACCGGAACGUUCAGCGUUGAUCUGAGGAAACAACACUGUGACUGUGGGAAAUUUCAGGCAUUUCACUUACCUUGCUCCCAUGUAAUCGCAGCAUGUUCGAGCAUACGCCAGGACUAUUCCAUUCACAUUCCAGACGUCUUCAAAAUUCGUAACGUCUUCAAGGUCUAUCAGGAGAGUUUCCUAGGACUUCCCCAUGAGGAGAAUUGGCCACAAUAUGAAGGAUAUACUCUUUGCCACGACGACUCUAUGAGAAGGAGGAAGAAAGGGCGCCCAAACAGCACCAGGAUUAGAACCGAGAUGGACGACGUUGAGAAGGAGAAGAGAAGGUGUGGAAUUUGUCGCGAAAUAGGACACAUGCGUAGGAAAUGUCCUAAUGUUGCAGGAUCAUCCCAACGACCUUCCAGAUGAUUAUCUUGUUGUUUUAAAUAUUCGUUCAGAUGACUAUGUUUAUUUAUUUAUUUAUUAACUACUAUGCACAUAAUAUAUAUAAACCAUUUUGUAUUUCUAAUGUCUUUUGGGAACAAACAUUUAUGAAAUACAUUUGAUAAUCAAAGGCUUCUGGUUACAAAGUACGACCACAUCAACUAAACAACAACAACAACCAACACAAGUGGUAAUUAAAAAACUAAUCAACAACAACAACCAACACAAGUGGACCUUCAACUCCUCUAUUAACUUCACCACUAUGUGCCGAAAACAUACAUUGGACAUCUUCAUCAUUUUCUAUACGAUCCAGGUAAUACAUGUACGUACCAUCGGGGCUUGCAUCAGUCAACGUUAUGUAUGGACAACGAUACUCUACUUUCCUCACCUUCAUACGACGCCCGCCCAACUGUCGGAAGCCAGUGUGGAUGGCAGAAAUCAGUGUUCUGAAAUUCCAUUGCGGAUCAAGGCAAACACUCAUUUUUUCACCGUGUCCAUAAAAUACAAGACCACAAACAGACAUUAUGAACUAAAGAAAGGAUUUGGUGGUGUGAGUUUCAUUUCUACCAGUUNNNNNNNNNNNNNNNNNNNNNNNNNNNNNNNNNNNNNNNNNNNNNNNNNNNNNNNNNNNNNNNNNNNNNNNNNNNNNNNNNNNNNNNNNNNNNNNNNNNNNNNNNNNNNNNNNNNNNNNNNNNNNNNNNNNNNNNNNNNNNNNNNNNNNNNNNNNNNNNNNNNNNNNNNNNNNNNNNNNNNNNNNNNNNNNNNNNNNNNNNNNNNNNNNNNNNNNNNNNNNCAACAACAACCAACACAAGUGGACCUUCAACUCCUCUAUUAACUUCACCACUAUGUGCCGAAAACAUACACUGGACAUCUUCAUCAUUUUCUAUACGAUCCAGGUAAUACAUGUACAUACCAUCGGGGCUUGCAUCAGUCAACGUUAUGUAUGGACAACGAUACUCUACUUUCCUCACCUUCAUACGACGCUCGCCCAACUGUCGGAAGCCAGUGUGGAUGGCAGAAAUCAGUGUUCGGAAAUUCCAUUGCGGAUCAAGGCAAACACUCAUUUUCUCACCGUGUCCAUAAAAUACAAGACCACAAACAGACAUUCUGAACUAAAGAAAGGAUUUGGUGGUCUGAGUUACAUUUCUACAAGUUCUGCUAUUUAUACAAAAAUUAAUAGUUGAAUACUCAGCCAAUCAUUGGCCGAGACAGUACAAACACAAAAACUUUUUGGCGGGAAAGAUAUCAUUCCCAAAAAAUGAUUGACAUUUUGGAGGGAAACAUAACAAUUUUAUUAUUAAUAUAUAAGACAUAAAUUAUUUCUAUUAUUAAUAUUCUAAAAAUUAAUCAUUUUUAUUAUUAGUAUUUCAAAAAUAAUAAUAUCACAAUUUUUUUAUUAUCAUGAAAAACUAUAAUUAUUUACAAUUUAUUUUAAAUAUUUUUUUAUAAAAAAAUUAUUAUUAUUUUUAAUUAAAUCAAUUAUAUUAAUUAUUUUUUUAUUAUCAUGAAAAACUAUAAUUAUUUACAAUUUAUUUUAAAUAUUUUUUUAUAAAAAAAUUAUUAUUAUUUUUAAUUAAAUCAAUUAUAUUAAUUAAAUAUAAAAUUAAUAAUUAAAAAUUAAUUAUAUUAAUUAUUAUUAUUAUUUAAUACAGUAUUUAAAAUAUUAAAAAAUAAAAAAAUCCUUCUUCAUGUCCUCGUCACUUGAAGUGACGAGCCCUAACUGCGUAAAUUGGGCCUUCAUCCCCUCGUCAUUUGAAGUGGCGAGCCCUAACUGAAAAAGGGAUAGAUUGAGAAAUUAUUUUCAGACUGGGGCAUAUUGGGUAAAAAAUUUCAAAUAGAGGGCAUAUGCAGCAAAAACUCACAACGGGUAUGUUGAGUCAACUGGUUGAUUGGUUGAGAGAGGUCACGCAAGCAUGAUGUGGCACUUGGCUGGAUGAGGGUAUAAAAGUUAUCUCCCUUUAGAAAUCUUCAUUUCCACUUCUCUCAUUCUCCCUCUCUUCAUUGCUCUCCCUCUCUCUUCUCUCCCCUCUUUCUACUUCGGCAACCCUCUUCCCCACCGUAUAUCCCCAGAAACCACCCACAAACCACCACAUUCAACUGAGAUCUUUAUGUUCAUCAUGAACAUGAAAAACACCCAACUCAGAAACCGACCCCUCACCAUCCUUUCCCCCAGAACCACCGAAUCUCCGGAUCUCGGGUUGAAGCUCAACCAGGAUCUUCAAUCAAUGUUCAUCUGGGUGAUGAACAUCAACCCAGAACCAAGAACCCUAACCCUAACAUUCAACCAAAACCCAGAAUCACAAGAACCAUAACCCUAACUGAAGAACCCUAACCUUCAAAAUCAAAACCCAAAUUCUCCUAACCUUUAUCAUGUUCAUCAUGAACAUGAUGAAUCUUCAUCCCUGAUCUCUGAACCAUAACCCAAAUUUCCAGAAAUCCCCACAAUUCACCCAAUCAUAACAAAAACAACCUUAAAUCAAAGGUCGUAACCUCUUUAUCAAUAAUUAACCGCCAAAAUAAAUAACAAAACAUCCUAAAACCAUGAAUCAAUCCAUCUGAACCCUAAUCCCCAAAUCAACCCCAAUCAUCAUACAUCAACAACAACAUCAAAGAGUCAACAAAAGUAAGCAAAUAAGUGAAGUUCUACCAACCUACAGAAUCGAGGAAUAUUCCAGUUCGAAAGGUAAUUACCUAGAGUCCUUUCUUAAUUACUUCUUUUAUUAUGCUCCUCUUCUAAUCCCUUUCUUAUUGUUAUGCGAGGUUUGAUGGUUGGCUAAGCUCAAAUAACUUAGGGUUUCAGUGUGAAGCCCUAAACAUCAAAUUUUGUUGAGCAUAUGGUGAGACUUUUAGGAUCAAUGUUGCGACUGCAAGUUCCAAGUCCUUAGGGUUUUCUUCGUCCCUGAUUGAAUUUUAGGUUUAUGUUUAUAUAAAUUAUUUUUUAGGGUUUUAGAUUUCAAUUCUGAUUGUAUGGUUUUAUAAGAUUAGGACCUGAUUGAUUAUGUAUUUGAUUUAGAUUGAUUUUGUGUUAUAAAUAGAAAUUAGGUUUGAAUUGUAACAGACAUUGACAAUUUAUGUAGUCCAAUUUUGAUUGAUAUUCACGAUUUGAAUGUAUAUGAAAUAAAAACAGAAAUUUUGGAUUGGUUUUAAAAUUGCAGUUUUCGAUUUGUUCUGAAAAUGGUUUUGCGCAAGUCAGGGUUUAGAUUAGGGAAGAAGCUGAACCUGAGUCAUGAGCUUGCCCCGGUUCAGUGAUGGAUCUUUGGUCUAGCCUGACCCAGUUCGAUUGUGGUUUUGAAUCCUCUUGGUCUGACCAUCACUUGGGCCAAAUAACGAUAAUCAAGAUAUAACAAAAAAAUAAUUGGCACGUCCAUAAUAAUAAUAUAACAAA
This 44899-nucleotide long non-coding RNA is filed under the name Lathyrus oleraceus (garden pea). RNAcentral's name for it is "Pisum sativum (pea) long non-coding RNA (PSAT_LNC009107)". The record is from RNAcentral. Lineage: Eukaryota; Viridiplantae; Streptophyta; Magnoliopsida; Fabales; Fabaceae.